GUUGUAGAGAAUUACAAACAUAUAUCAAAUCAUCAACCUCACUCAAUAAUCAAUACUCAUAAGACACUCUCAAUCUCCUCUAGUCCUAUGGAGUAUUCUCAACCCAAACAAAUACAAACCUAAACUCUUGUGCACCCUUUCAACAUAACCAAACACAUACCCAUAUGCUCCCAUACAUCAUACCUAUGUGGACCCUCUCAAUCUCCUCUAGUCCACUCAUAAACAAACAUACAAACCCAUAAGACGUAGAGCCCCAAUACUCUUAUGGGGUGUCUAUCCCACAAAACCCUACAACUCUCUUACAUCUUUUUCUCAUACCUAACCCUGUAGAGACUUCACCUAUUUAUAACCAUACAAACUUGCCCAUUAAGAAUCCCUCUCCUCUUAGAAUUCUUCUCCUGUAAGUCAAACUUGCCUAUUAAGAAUCCCUUUCCUUUUAGAAUUCUUCUCUUACAAGUCAAACUUACCUAUUAAGAAUCCUCUUUCUCUUGGAAUUCUUCUUUUGCAAGUCUUCUUGUCCAUCAAACAAUAUCUAACAAAUCUCUAACAAAUCUCUUAUGGGAUUUGAGUCAAUAUUCCCAACAGUUGUAACUUAUGAAUCUUAGGAAUUUUACUGCUUUGAUUAUUGACGUGGUCUCUAUAUCAACAUUUUGUUCAUUUUAAUUAAUUUCAUGUACUUUUAGCUCAAUAAAAUUGUUUAUCGUAUAUUUUGAAUUUUAUCAUUUUCUAUUAAAUUAAAAGCCUUAAUUUUAUUAUUAUUUAUCAUAUAUUUUGAAUUUUUACAAACAAUUUUUAUUAAAAGCUUUAAUUUUUUAGUUGAUAUCUCUUAUAUAUAUAUAUAUAUAUAAUUUGAACAUAUUAAAGAUUAAAUAAUAUCAUGUGAUUACACGUAUGUAAAUGGAUACUUGUAAUAUGUGCAUAACUCGGAUAGUAAACUAGUUGGCUUUUAAUAUUUUACACUGCUUUUCCGUAAAAGAUUUUGAUUGAAGUAUUCUUUCUAUUCUUGAUCUCAGCAUCUUUCAGCUUGUAGGAUGGCAAAUCUCAAUGAUUACUAACGUGUUUCCUUGACAUUUUUAAAAUUUCUUUUGAUAGACAUCUCCUAUUAUUUUAUUAUUUUGUUUAACAAUUUGAUAAAAAAGGUCAUUGAAGCAAAGAUAUUUUAAUUUUUUUUUAUAAUUGAAUUUAUCAUUCAACAAUAUUUUUUGUUCUUUUGAAAAAUAAUAUUACGUACAUUCAAAAGUUUCGAAAUAUAACUAUGACCCAUUGGAAUAUUAGGUUUGGAUGACACUCAUGGGUUUUUUAAUCAUCUUUUAAAAACAUUUUCAGGAGGAAUAUUAGGUUUGAAUGAGAGUCAUGGUUUUUUUAAUCAUCUUUUAAAAACAUUUUCUUGAAUUGAAUUAUUUUGUAAUCUUUGUAGGAGGGGUGACCUCAAUUGAACGAUUUUUGCAGAACUUCUUCUCUUCCUUGUACAAUACAAUAAACGAUGAAACCAAAAAUAAAAGAGCAAGUACUACAAAUUUGAUAGUUAGUUGCUGACCCUGUUCACCUCUUCCCUCUACCUUUCUACUUUGCUUGUUUGUUUUGCUGCCUCAAUGGUAACAAUGAUAUAUUUUUGGACGAAACGCUUUCAUGUGUUUUGGAGGCCUUAUUUUCUUUGCUGGCUCAAUUCUCGAUUGUAUUAUUAUGAAUGUUGGACUCCUAAUCAUUGGUCGUUUUAUGCUUGGUGUGAUAAAUAUUAAUUUUCUUUUCUUUUCUCUGCUUUAGAAUCAUUUUUAUCUCAAUAACAUUUAGGUUAAAAUUGAAGAAAUUUAAUUUUAUUUGAUAAAAUUUUUUUUAUUUAUUAUUUUUAAAAUAAUUUCGUUUAAUAUAUAUUUGAAGUUUCUUAAAUUGUUUUUUAAGAUAUAAUUUUCUUAUAAUAUAUUGGAUUUAUAAAUUUCGGAUAUUUAACUAUAAUUUUAGAAAGAAUGGUAAUUUGUAUCUAAUCAUACAUAUUUAAAUAGAUAAAAUAAUUUGUGUAUUGCUCGAAUUAUAAAUUAAUUUAAUAUAUCUUAAGAAAUUUAUUUUUAAUUAAAUUAAUUUUUAAUUAAUUCACAUAAUCAUUUUUAAAAAAUUAUGUUAUCAUAUUUAUAUUUUUUUAGUGUUAACUUUUUUCUAAAAAAAUUAUUUAUUAAUAAAUUAAUCUUAUGUGAUUAAUUAACUAAUAGAAUAUAAAAUGUAUAAACUGUGGGAUCGAAUAUAAAUUUUUUAUUCAUUACUGAUAAAAUUAAAUGAUAGCAACUCACGGAAAGACGUAAAGCAUUGACGCACUCAUCUACCGACAACCAAAGUCAAGCACCACUAAUAAUUUUAUUCACCCUCUUCCGGCUUUCAACCUUUCGAGUCACAACGCAAACGUCACCAUGCAAACCGAAACUUCAAAGUCAAACCAUUAACACCAAAUUAAAAAAAAAAAAGUAAGAACGGAUUUAACAAGGCACACACCCAAUAGAUGAUAUUAUCCAGAUUGCGGCAUCUCACAUGGUUGUACAAGCUGAUGAUUUUUGUUCACUCGAGUCAUAACAACAACGGCUUUGACAACUGCUGCUGCAUCUUCCACAAGAACAUGAUCCACCACAACCGCUACAGGAAAAGUUACUGCACCUUUUACAUGAAUUGCCUUUGCAGCCACUACAAGAAAAGCUGCCGCAACCUUUACAACACCUGCUGUUGUUGCACCCGCCACAAGAUAUGCUGCCACACAUUUUACAACCCCAGUUGUAGUAUCCACUAGAAGACCAGCCAUCGCAUCCGCUACAAGAAGAGCUGCCGCACCCUUUACAUGACCAAGACCAAGUGCAGCACCCACUACAAGACUUGCUGUUACACCCCUUACAAGUGUUGCUGCUACAAUUACUACAAUGCCAGCUGAUCCACCCAUAACCUGAGCAGCUUUUGCACCCACUACCACCACACCCAUUACAGCACAUUCUUUUCCCACAAUUCUCAGUGCAUGCAAGUGGGAACGAAAUACAUUUACUCUGGUCGCAUUGGCCUUCGGGAUGCCAUAUAUGGCAUUCCUUACAAAAUAUCCCUACUAUGUUGAUAAUUUUAUUAUCCUUCUUCUCAGGCUCUGGAGGCUUUUCUUCUUUAGGUGGAGCAUCAGGCUUGAUAGGCGUUUUAAUCUCAAUGCUUGUUAUGCAACAACCGGCCUUGCUCCAUAUCUUUCUCUUUAUGGACUCAGGAUUGCUGGAUACCACAGUGAUUGUCACCGUAUUUUCCUUCUCAUCGUAUUUCUGGUCUCUUAUUUCUGUUCAACAUCAUCACAUCACACAUAAGCUUAAUCGGUCUUUAAUUAUGUUUAAUCUCCCAAAACUUUUUUGUUCAUGCAUAUACACAAGCAUAGUGACAAAGGAGAUAUCGAUGAUCAGAUCACUUGCCCGGAUAUUUGCAGAGUACUUUCUUGACCUUCUUACAGCAGCGGUAGCACUUAAGGUCUACUUUCAACACCAUUGUUGUGGCCUAUAACAAUGCUCUUUAUUAUCAGUGAAUAUGAUGGUUCAGAAAAAUGUAGUAAUAUGUUAUAUCAUCCUAUAUAAUAAAUUAAGAAAAAAUUAAUGCAAUGUCAUCCCAUAUAAAAUAAUUGGAAAAAGUAUAUGGUAUUUCGUGGCAGUUUCUGCACCAAUGUAUAAUAUGUACAAUUGAUAGGUGGAUCAAUAAAACAUGUAUCAAAAGUGUCACGAUUUCGUCCGUUUUAAACAUAUAUAUAUAUAUAUAUAUAUAUAUAUAUGUUAUACUCCUACUAUUUAGAAUCGAACUGGUCUGGUUACCACUCCACUGUUUUAUGACAAUGAUAUAUAGUACUAUAUUAUAAGUACUUGUCAUGCACAUGCAAACUAUCAAAUCAAGUUGUUAUUUGGCAAAUUAAGGAAACUUUAGAGUUGAUGAAAUAUAUAGCAUAUACAAAGCAGUCUAGCUAAUUUGUGAACGACAGACAACACAUACAAAUUAAAUUACUAGCAUAAGAAGAACAUUUAGAUAAAGUAAAUAAAUAAUGGAUGAGAUUUCACACUUCACACCUCCGCCAUGGCAAUGGAUGAUGGAUGAAAUCUAGUAAAAAGACAGCUGUGUUGUCAAAUUAUGUAGACUACAAGUGAACCAGAGUCAGAGAGAAACUAAGAGAUGGUGUCUUCUACAUCAAUUUAUCAACCCAAGUUGCUAAAUAGCGUCUUAAAUAGAGCAAGGACUGACUCUAUGCACUGUCGACGCCUAAUGAGAACCCACCAUAUAUAUUUUAUAUAUAAGACGUUGAUUUUCAUAUAUAUACGACGAUUAUCUAUAUAUAUAUAUAUAUAUAUAUAAAUGCGUAAAAUGUGGAAACUUAAAUAUCGAAUCCCGUACACCCAAUUAUUGGUUUUGCAUCUGCUGGAUUGAUAGGCACUUCUGACCUUUUCGUGGACUUGAUCAGAAUAAAAUUUCUUAUCCCCAACUAACGAACUAAGUUUAAUUAGACCCAGAAUCCACGCAAAUCACCUAAAAGAAUCCUUUUUGUAGCAUGAAAAAGGAUUCUUGUACGCGUCCAUCCAAGUUUCUCAUUUGAUAUUAAUCAAGCAACUUCUUCGAUCUUCCUUGGUUCUUUGUUAUGAGAUGACUUUUCGUGGAGACAUCUUGAGUUCUUAACGUUGUAUCCCAUUAAUGAAAACUUAAAAAUUAGAAAUUUUAUACUAUGAUAUAUUUUCAUUAUUAUUUCUAAGGUUCUAUUGUUUGGUUUAAUAGUUUUGGCAUUUGUUUUUCAAAUAACAAAAAAAAAAUUGUAAUAUCCAUCAAAUGAAACUUAAAAAUAAUAUAUUUUAUGUUAUAUUUAAUGUAUUAACUAGGUGUGGACAUGGUCUUCUGACGUGUAUUUAAUUUAAGGAUCUUGUUGGCAACAUUUCGUUUUCAAACCGAACUUCUGAAAAUAACUAAAAUUUGAUUAAAGAAAAGGAGAGAGGGUGGGUGGAAGAAGAAAAUUAAGUUCUAUCUAAUGCUUUCAACCAUUAAAAAAAAAAAAAAAAGGAAAAGUUGUAUGUGCAGCAUCUGAUAUUUUAGUGGGUUCAAAGAUAUUUUGCCGAAAGCCUGAAAACCCAAAAAGUUGGAGUUCAAAAUCCUUAUUCCUUUCCUGGGCCUCUUGUUCAUUACUGUUGGUCUGAUAGUGCUGUAGUAUUGAAUGUUUUCAAAGCCUGGUCCUAGAGUCCAAAGCCCAAAGGCCUGUUGGUAGGCACUGUUUUCUGUUUUGUAUCUUUUUUUUUUUAAUUAUUUUUCGGGUCUUCUGAAUAAUUUCAAUCAUACAAGCAAUAAUUAUUUAAUGACGAUUAAUCUUUGGAUGGCCCUAGUUAUAUGAUUAAGGUGGGCCCUGGCAUUCGGGUUCUGCUAUUUGCAAUGUCAUUUCAGUAGUGUUAUUAAGUGGCAACUAUACAAUAUACACGCAUGGUUCUAAUUAUCAUCAAUAAAUAUAGCAUAUGAUUUGUAUAGUAAUAAAAGUAAUAGCAGCAGUAGUAGUAGUAUUUCUACUUGCUAUGAUUAGAAAUGAACCCAAUUAGCUGUCAGUGUACUAGAAAACUUUGGCUGUGGAUGUGAGCUAUGCAUAUACGGAAGAUUCUUUUGGGUAAGGGUAAGCGUCAACUUGUUUACGUGAAGACAGGAAAUGUAAUCAAUCAUCGUUUUCUUUUCUGCCCAUCUUUUUCUCAUACCACUUUGAUCUUAUUGGAGACUCGAAGAAUAACGAUAACGCUUAUCAUCACAAAUGUCAUUCGUUGAAUGGUUCUCCAAUUAUGGGUUCCCACUUGAUUCCUUCGUUUCCUGCCUUUUUCAAGAUCCUGAUAGCCUUCCCAGGCCGACCAUAGAUUGGGUUUUCGUGGAGUGUAUGCCAUUACUUGGACUCGGAAGUUGGAAUCCAAAACCGUGGGCUCCAUUCAUAUUAUUGUUCACAUCUCAUAUUUUUUAUUUUUACUAAGUCAUCCUCUGAUAAGCAUGUUUCUGCGCACCACAAGAAGUUGCACUUCAAUUCAUUUCAUUCAAAAAUCAUACUCCUGUAAUCCUGCAUGAUUAAAUUUAGGGGUUAAUGGAAGAUCGGAAAUUUCAUUAACAGCCAUUGGAUUUUGGACUUUUAUCAACACCCAAAGUAUGAAAUCAUCUCAGCCUGCAGGAACCCAUUAAAAAAGGUUCAUACUUCACAUAUAUGUGCACUAUAUUAAUCUAUAUAUCACUAAAGUAAUCACGCAGCUUUAAUUAAGUCUUGGUUACAUCGAUAGGGUAAUCUUAAACUUGUACAACAUCAGCUUUAAUGACGAUGAUGACCGUAUGGACCCAUAUUGUCCUUUGCUUUUAUUAUCAACUGCAAGCAAUUUAACAGGUGGAGAAGGGCAAUUGAUGAGAUGCUGAGUCAGCUAAAGGACAUAUGUCUACCGUGUGUUAAACAACUCCACGUCAGAUGUGCAGAAUUACCACGUUAUUUAAAUCUCUUCUUUCUCCUCAGACCCCUAACUAAGAGAGAAGAGAGAGAGAGAGUUCAUUAGAAAGAAAGAACAGGCAGCAAGCGAGAGUCCGAAGAAGUUCGUUGUUUGAAUAUCUAACUGCAUCUGCUGAUAAAACUUCUGAAGUAGAGAGUACUUUCCGAAUCAUCGCAGAGAUGGGUGAAGUAAGCGUAUCGAUCUAAUUACUAUAUAAUAUAUAUAUGGAGUACUGUUAUUUAUUCUCCUUUUUUGGUUGUUGCAUUCUUUAUGCAUGUCAUUAAAUGGCUUCUAAUUACUAGCCAUGGUUAUUCGUCUGAUCUCAAAGUUGAAUAGCCUCUUCUUCCAAUCCUUCAGUUUUGUGAGGUUUAUGUAAUUACAGUUGUUGGGUCUUUAGCUUUAUAUAUUUAUUAAAUAGAAUUCUUUUAUUAUAGCUCAAAGCAGAUAUAUUGUUUGAUUAUGUUGUGUGCAUGGCAACCGCAGGCGAACAGAGAAGAGAACAAAGGUGAAGAGAAAAAAGAAGAAGCCAAGGAUGAAAAGAAUAAGGAAGAGGAGAAAAAGGAAGAGCUUCCGGAGAUUGUACUCAAGGUUGAUAUGCACUGCGAAGCUUGUGCCAGAAAAGUUGCAAAAGCCCUCAAAGGAUUUGAAGGUCAGUAAUAAAUUUCCCUAAAUUAACUUCUUUAAUUAGCUCAUAUGAACCUGCUCCAUUUUUCAGAGAAGAUGAUGCAUAAAUAGAAAUUAAAUGAGACAAAUUUAAUUAACCAUACAUUAUUAUUAGUUAAUGUUGAUGCUGGUACUAUUUAAUAAUAGGAGUGGAGGAUGUAGCCACAGAUAGCAAGGCGAGUAAGGUAGUGGUGAAGGGAAAGACAGCAGACCCCAUCAAGGUUUGUGAAAGGCUGCAAAAGAAAAGCGGUAGAAAAGUGGAGUUAAUUUCACCUUUGCCAAAACCACCGCCAGAAGAGAAGAAGGAAGAAAACAAAGAACCCAAAGAAGAAAAAAAGGAAGAGGUAACCAAAAAAUAAACAAUUAAGAAUGGCUUUCAUUUCAUAGUUACCGUAUCAAAAUCAAACAUAAUGAUGAGUAAUCAUGAGUGCACCACUAUCACAUAUAGUAGUAUUGAUGAAUUUACAGUGGAAAAGUAGCAAUAAGUACUCGCAGUGUCCGUUUUUGACCCACUAAAGUUGGUUGCUUAGACCUUUCGAGUGUCAUAGGGAUUGAAAUACAAUUAGUUUCAACCCCUUUUGGGCUUUGGAGUUUGAACUUCCUAUACUGUGAAACCUGUGAGUGGUAUAGCGUGCUGUUUCCAUGCUGACAUUGAAAGUAACAAAACAAAUUGGCCAUUGCCCACAGCCCACAGGGCACAGGCACGUAUUUCAAAGAGGAAGGCGACUGUUUAGGAUUUUGACCCCACGGUUCCAUUCCGCAACAAGCAUGUACGGCUGUGCUUUGCAGUACUGGCUGCAGCCAUAUGGGGUCAAGCCCUCACGCUCACGGGUUGAGACUAAUUGAGAUCCUAGCUUGAUAUAUAAUUAACUUAAUUUACUUCGAAUUGGAAAGCAACAAUAUUAAAUCAUUACUAGUGGUAUUUAUGUUUUGAUAAUUAUAUAGUAGUAUCACUUUUGUUUCUUUUUGUCUUUGGUUUUGUUUCAUAUGUAGAAAUAGCAGAUUAAUGCUAAUAGUUUAAGACAAUGAGAUUUUUGUUUCUGGGUGGUAGGUGGAUUAUAUAGAUAGAACAAGAAUAAAUUCAAUAGGUGGGUGGAUUGAGUAGUGUUUGGUGGUGUUGUAUUCUUGUUGACUGUUGAGCACAUGCAGUUUGUCCUGUUUUUUCAUCUCACCAUCUCAUUGGGUGUUGAGCCCGUCGGUUUCUUAUGUCAGCUCCUGCUACAGAUCUCUAUCUACGUACCUUGGUGAAUAAACCUAAUAGAAAAAGUAAUUAUGUAAUGUCAGGCUUAGAGAUUGGGGCGGGGGUUACAUAGAAUUACAAGUAAUACUAAUUGAUGUUCAAAUAAUUAAUUACCAUGCAUCUUGGUUUGAGUUAUACAUUAAUCUGUAGAGAUUCAAUUAAUAAUUACGGUUGAAUGUGACCGUUAGUUGGUUUAAUGAUCUCUUGGCAGCCUCCUGCUGCGAUAACGGUAGUGUUGAACGUUCGUAUGCACUGUGAAGCAUGUGCUCAAGUUUUGCAGAGGCGAAUUCGAAAGAUCCAAGGUACUAUCCUAUACCAUAUUAUACUAUACUAUACUAUAUUGUGCAAUUCUCCUCCGCUAGUUAGCAACCCAAUUUCUGGAUUAUCUCAAGCUUUUUACUUUUUAACAUUCAUAAUAACUAUAAAACCCCAGCCUCCAAGUUAUUACACAUUAUAGUAAUUAAAUAUAAAUGAAGGGCUAUCAGAUAAAUAACAAGGUUAUAAAUAAUAAUAACUGUGUCAUGAAUAUUGUGUUGAAGCUAGCUGCUUGGGACUACUUAAUUUGGGACUUGACAUCGCAUCGGAUUCUUUUCUUCGUUUGUGGGUAAAAGAAUUCGGAUUCUUUUCUCACAAAGAUACAGAGAAUUGAAUUUGUAAAAAAAAAAAAAAAAAAGAAACUGGGCGUGUACUUCCCAUAUUGCAUACAAUGGUAAGAAUUAAAUUGAUGAUCAUCCUAGCCAGUGUUUCGCUACCCUAUUGACAAUUGGGAUAUGUAGAUAUAAUAUAAAAUGUAUCAAAAAAUAUUUGAUGAGUUAAUUUAUUCAUCUCAUUAGAAUUAAUUAAGUUAAUUUAUCAAAAAAAAAUUUAUGAACCAUUUUUAAAGUGUAUGAGAUGAGUGAGUUUUUUUUUUUUAAUUAUAUAAAUGGGUAAAAUACUAUCCAUUGAUCGAUGUAAAUAUUUUCAACGGGUAAUAACAUUUUCAUAUCAGAAUUAAGUUAGGAUGGAUGUAAUUUCAUAUUUGUGAGAGUAAGUUGUUAAACAAGUUUUGCCCAGCUCCCCCAUUGGGAAAUUGAAUUAGGGUUAGCCUCCAACUUUCGCCCUUGUUUCAUUUCGUUAUAAUUAUUAGUAUAUAUUAAUAAUAAGGCUAACUAGUGGUGUGGUUUGAUUAAUUGAAGUUAUUGCGUUGGGAAUAAUGCAUGAUUAAUUGCAGGUGUAGAGUCAGUGGAAGCGGAUGUGGGAAAUGAUAAAGUAAUAGUAAAAGGCGUUGUAGAUCCCACAAAGCUGGUUUAUGAUGUAAACAAGAGAACCAGAAAGCAAGCAUCCAUAGUGAAGGAUGAAGAGAAGAAGGAAGAAGAGAAGAAAGAAGAGAAGGAAGAGAAAGAAGGAGAGAAGAAAGAGGGUGAAGAAGGCAAAGGAGAAGAUGAUAAGAAGAGUGAUAUCAAGCGAAGUGAAUAUUAUCCAUCCAAGUACUACUCCGAGUUUGCAUAUCCUCAAAUUUUCAGUGAUGAGAAUCCAAAUGCUUGCUCUCUCAUGUAACCACCAAUUUCAGUACUUCUAGUUAGCCAACCAUGCAAUUUUCCUGGUAGUUACCCUACCAUCUAUAUAUAUAAUAAUGAUAACAUCUUGCCAGACGAAAGUGAGUGCUUAAUCAUGCCAUCCUUGACGACAUAUCCUAUGUAAUUAUAGGUCUUGUUUCUUGUCAUCUUGAGUUCAGAACGAUGUAUGGUUAUGGAGUACAGUUCAAGAGAUCUUUAAGACGUUGUUUGUAAUAAUAAUUGACUUUUCUGAAGUUUCUUUCUCUUAAUUAAUUCACAUACCAUAAAAUAGCCAACAGAAGUAUUUUGUAAUCUUGCCAGAUAUAAUUUGUUCAUCUUUUUAACCAUUCAAAAUUUUAAAUAAUCAUGGCAAUCAUUCUGUUAAUUUCCUGAGCAAACAUCACACUCUCCUUGAUUAUUUUUAAACUUCAGAAAAUGUAAUCGAAGAUAGAUGAUCAUUGCCUAGCAGAUGUUAUAUAUAUUAUAUAGCAAAACAUGAAAUGAUAUAUAACAAGUACUUUGUACCGGGGAGGCGAUUAAUUCAACUUGAGAGAACUCAAAUUUGGAGGAAUGUGUGAUAUCUGUUAGUUAUUGACUCCUUGUUUGGCAUGCUUAGAUGCUUCUGACUAUUCAGUAGAUAAAAAAAAAUCACAAUAUUAGUGCAUUCAAAGAUAAUUUUUUUUCCUAAUUAUCACAUGGACAAUCUAAAUUUUGUUUUGCUAGUGGCUUUUGCUGCUAGAAACUAAUAAAAAGGAGAUAAUUAAGUAUAUAUAUAUAUAUAUAUAUAUGUACAUGUGUGUGUCUAAUUUAUAGAAAGCAACAGCAUUGUCUCUAAUGUUUGUCAGACAUCUUAGAUGGAGUAUAUGGUAACCAUUACCAUUAGGAGAAAAUAUGCCCAAGUUGGUUGUUCUAGAAUAUUGAAGUACUAUAAACCUGGAAACGUUUAAUGUGAGAGCACAGAUAUAGUUAAUAUAUUCUUGAGGAUAUUUGAUGAGUUGAUGUCCAGGCACCAUUCAAAAUUCAUGCCUGGAUUUCAACUAACGUUGCAUGCUUAACAGUCACUCAAACCCACAGUGGCUAAUUGUCCAAAGACUUGUGGCGGAUAGCAGAGGGAGAAUUCUACACACAAAUCAACAAUAAUAAUCGACGCUCCUCCUACCAUUGGAGAAGGCAACACUAUACAAGCCACUCAUUUGAGAUGCCCUUGGUCCAUAACUAUCGCUCUAUCAGUCGCAAUUAAUGUCACCAAGAAUAAAUCCUAGAACAGAGUACAAACGCAAAUGGUCAUAAAUUUCCGGAAGGUCUGUUAAUGCUAUAAAUCAAGACUAAAACUCGGAAUAUUUAAGUUUUAGAUGCUGAGUGAAGCUUGAAAGAUACAUACAACUUAUAAAAUCUAAUAUGAUGGUUAAUAUUAAUUGUUUAACCGCUGCUGAAAUAUGGAUAAAUAUACAUAUAUACACAUAUAUAUAUGUAUGUAUUUAUGUAUGGAUUAUAGAGUAAUCAGAGAUUUUAAGGGGCACCAUCUGUCGGAGUUUGGACUAGAUAUUAUGCAGGCUGCAAUCACCACCGGCCGAUGUUAUCCUCGCUGCAAAGCAAGCAAAGCUCUGACAAAAUGGCACGCUGUGUUGUCAAUAGGAAACCAAUAUACGAAAAGGAUAUCGAACUGGACCACCGAUCCAUUGGGUUGGGCAGAACUUUAUGCUAAUAGAAAAUCUAAGGUUCAGGCCUAAGUCUAACACACGUAAGGAAAAGCAGUGUCGUUAGGUCGUAGUCAAUGUGACCAUGUGGGCAUGCAUGGCGGGCUGGUACCACGGUGACACUAGUGAAAAAGCUAAGACUGAUAAUUGCAGAAAGAGUUUUACAUCUCCCAGUCACAUUUGAGUGGACCCCUUAAGAUUCUGAUAAUUAUUCAAGCAGCAGGCCCAGUAUUCCCACUAAGGCUUAAAAGUUGGGUGGAUGAGAAGUAUGUAUUGAACCUGGAGGUCCAAGACUCUUUUGUAUGAUAUCAAAGACAACCUGCAUGAAAUGAAAUUAUCAUAAAAAGAGAAGCUUGAACUAGGAAAGUAGGAUUUGGAAUAGUAGGACGUUAUUGAUUCAUGUGGAUUGUAUUUCUUUAUUUCGGGUCACAACAAAUUAAGGGUGGUGCGAAUAGAGAAUCAUGUUUAAGGAUAGAUUGAUAUAUAGGAAAAAAGCUUUUUCUAUUCCCUGCCUGCCCAAACGAGCCAAUAUCUUUGGAACUUACUUUUUCUUUGCCUUUUUGUCAUCGAAUAGAGUAUUAUACAGAGAUGGAGUUGACAAGAUCAAGUUGGUGGCCUCAGCCAGACGCAGGACCAACAAGUGCAUAAGCUAAUGAAAGUAAUGUAAUAUAUACUCUUUAGUAGAAAAUAAGGAAAGUGAAAAUUUUACCUUUACUUGCUGCAAUUUAUAAUUCCAGCAAUAGCCACGUCGUUUAAGAUUCCACCACGCAUGAAUUAAAUUUCUUGAACCUUAAUAGGUCAAUUACCCAUGAAUGGAAACCAAUAUAUAUAAAUAAAUAUAUAUAUAUAUAUAAUGGCUAAUUAUACCGAUGAGAAGGCGUUUAUAACGAAUUAACAACUACAUAGAAUUUGGUUUUUCAAAAUUCUGCUAAUAAAAACUGGAAGACCUGGUCGCAAUCAUUCACAAAUCAACAAUAUAAUAUAUUAUUUAAAAAAUACUAUAUAAUAUAUUUGUCCAGUUGGAAAAUAUUUUCGCUAUUUUUGUAUUCGAAAUAAAUAUAUAAUAUAAUAUAAUAUAUUGUCAUCAUGUUUGACAACAAUUGAAGCUUCUUUGUGCUACCAUCAUGUGACGUUGGGUUAGAGGGUGAUCCUUGAUGUGGUAGAGGCUUAUCUAUCUCAAUAUCUGGAAAUUUUGGCCACAUAACGUUUCCUUUGGUGUGAACGAAUGUAGGUUUUAUAUUGGUAAAAAGGUAUCUAUCUUUGUUUCAAGACAAUUCGUUAGACACUGAAGGCCGGUGGCAUUGGUGGCCACAUGGCAGGGAAUGCGGCCAACGACGUCGUAAUUGUACUAGUCUCUUUCCUUCUUUUGUUUAACUUGCCUUAUAUAUCUUAUUACAUUAGCUUAUUAUUCGUGCAAUACGUAAAAUAAUUUUAUAUGUAUAAUUAUAUGUAUAAAUAAUUAUAUGCAAAAGUAUAUAUUAAUUAAAAUUAAAAAAAUAUUUUUAAUACGUUAUGUUCAAAUUUUAUAUUAUAAUAAAUGUGUUUUUCUAAAUAUUUUAAAAAUUUUCAAACACCUUUUUUAGAGAAUUUUCAAACAUCUUUAAACUUAUUAUCGAAUCAAUAUUUUUACACUAUCUAGUGAAAAUAACUAUUUAUUUAGUUAAAAAAAAAAAAAAACUAUCACUUACUUAAACCUUAUAUUAUCAUUAAAAAUCAAAUUCAAAGUUUCUGAGCUUAUAUUUACUCUUGGAUAUCAAAUUUGGAUAUAAAUUAAAAAAAAAAAACAUAUAAUUUGGUUUCCCAGAUUAUGUAAUGGUCAGAAUAAAAAGGGUUUUUAACUUAAAAUUUUUCCUUAAUGAAGGUCCAAAAUACCGUAAUGUUCUAUACUUAGAAUAUGAAAAAAAAAAAAAAGUACUUAUCAUGUAUCUUAAAAAUAAUAAAUUUACACAUUUAUUAAAUAGUGUUAUUGACGUGGAUUACUUAAAUGAAAUGGUAUAUAUUAAUUCCCAUGUGGUAACUUUGAUAACAGUUUAUUACUAAUUCACUUUGAUACUUUUACCAGAUGAUUUAUUGACUUGAUUUUUUAGCAACUCUUUUUCACUUGUUUUAUUUUUUAUAUUUUGUAAGUUAAUAUUCUUAAAAAAGUAUGAAAGUUUCACUCAUGACUCAUACACUGAAUGACUAAAACCAAAAAAAAUCUACUGGGAAUGAAAAAUCAAUUAAUCAAAACAUUUCAUAUAUAAGAAAUCAUGCUUCACAUAUAUAAGAGAUGUAAUGAGUGAUAGAUAAAGGCCUUUUUGACUCUUACCACGGUACUUGUUGUAUGACAAUAUAUAUGAUCUCAAUCCAUGCUUUCUCGAAAUCUAUCAAAUAAUUCAACAAAUAUAUCACUUAUUUGAAAAAAAUAAAUAAAUUUCAGUAACUCAACCUUUUAAGAAUUUUUAUUUUGGUCACUCAACAUUAAAAAUUUACAAUUUGAUUACUAACAAAUAAAUUCUCAAAUUAUAAAAAAACAAAAAUAAGUAUUUGACUUUUUUAUUGCAUGGAAUUAAAUUAUUACAUUUAAAUUUGAAAAUUUGAUAAAUGUUAUCCACUUGCAAAAAUUCUCUAAAAUAAUGUUACUUCAAAUUUUGUUAUUCAACUCAUCCAAAUAAACUCAAGUAAAUAUUUCAUAUUUCAUAACGUCAAGAUUUAGUUUUAAUUUCAUGUAAUAAAAUAUUAAAAGAAGUAUAGAUAAAAAUAAAAUAAUUUACUAUAUUGAAUUUCACAAAUCAUUGGUGAUUAAAUCAUUAUAAAGUUAUGUUGAGAAUGAUAUUCAAAUAUUAAUAAUUUCAAAAAUGUUGAUGACCAAAAUGUAAAAAUUUAAAAUAAAUACGUGAAUUUAUUGGAUUAAUUGAAUGAAAAAUAUUUGAUGUAAUAAUCUUUUAAUAAUUUUAGCACUUUGAUUAAUAUUCACCUGUUUUUCAAAUUUAAAUGGCACAAUUAUAAAAAAAUAAAAGUUCAUAGUUUAAUUCCAUGCAAUAAAAAUAUUGAAUGUUUGUUUCUAUUUUUUAGUAAAAUUCAAUGAUUUAUUUGAGUAUUAUCAUAAUAUAUUUCAAUAGGUAACAUAAAUAAUAAAAUAAUUUAUUAUAUUGAAUUUCAAAAACAAUGGUGAUCAACUCAUUAUGAAUUCAAGGUGAUGAGCUAUUGAUAAUAGAAGGGUAAUGUCAUGAAUGACCUCUAAACUAUAGUAAAAUAUUUAAUGUGGUACUUGAAUUUUACUAAUAUGCUACAUGAACUAUGAAUUUGUCAACUAAAGUGAUACUUUGGAGGAUUGUUUGUCUUUCAUGUGCCAUUAUUUGAAACUAGUCACGUUAGGGGUGAGUAUCAUAUUGAUUAAUAAAUUCAUAUUUCAAGUACCACAUUAAAGAUUUUUAAAAAUUAAUUAUCAUAUUAAACAUUUCUCCAUAAUCUAAGAGCUAUUCAUGACAUUAAUCUAAUAUUAAUAAAUUUUACAAACGUUAAUGACCAAAAUAUUAAUAAAUUUCAUAUUUUAUAAUGUCAAGGUCUAAUUGCAAUAAAUUUUAUGCUAUCUAUAUUUUUUUAAUAUUUUAUUGCAUGAAAUUAAAAUUAUGGAUUUUUUUUCUAUUUAGAAUAUUGACAUUAUGAAAUAUGAAACACUUAUUUCAAUUUAUUUGGAUGGAUUGAAUCACAAAAUUUUAAAAUAAUGUUGUUUUGGUAAUUUUGACAAUUAGUUAAUUUCAUCCGAUUUUCAAAUUGAAAUAGUAUAAUUAUAAUAAAAUAAAAUAUUUAUAAUUUAAUUUCAUGCAAUAAAAAUAUCAAAUGUUUAUUCCAUUUUUUAUAGAAUUUAAGGACUCAUUUUUUAAUGAUCAAAUUAUAAAUUUUCAAAAUUAAGUAAUCAAAAUAAAAAUUUUAAAAAGGUUAAAUGACUUAAAUAUAUUUAUUUUUUAAAAAUUUAUAAAUGCCAUGUCAAAAAUGUCACAUGACUUAUUAGAUGAUGUGACAGUGUCAUGUGACAUUGAUAACUGAUAUGACAUUGCCACAUUAGAACACUAUUAGACAUUAAUAGUUGAGUAAUAAAAAAAUACUUACUCAAACUUAAAUGAUGAAAUUGAAAAAAUAAAUACUUUAAUGACAAUUUUAGAACGACCUUUAAAAUUGAAUGGCUAUUUGUAUAUUUUACCCAAAGAUUUUCAAGUGUUUACCAUUACUAAAAUGUAUAAAAUCCUUGAUUACUAUCCUAUUUUCAUGUAAGAAUGCAAAAUACAUUAAUAUUCCUAUAAUAUGAUAAACAUAUAUAAUUCAGAACAUAUGCAAAAUUGUAAAAAAAAAAAAAAAAACUGAAUUUAGAACAAAAAUGGACUGAAGUAAAAAAUGUACAAAAAUCAAAUGAAGAGAUUAAAUCUUUAAUCCUUAUAAAUUAUUAAAUAAACAAAAAGUGAGAUGGAUCAAUUUUAUAUUUUUCCAAAAGCAAUAUCCCUUAAAAAUUUAGAUUUCAAGAAAAUUAUUAAAAGAAUAUAUAUAUAUAUAUAUAUAUAUUCUAAAAGCAAUCAUACAUAAAAAAAAAUUACUAAAUAAACAAAUGUACUUAUAAAAGAAAAGUCAAAACUGAAAAGAAGAGAAUGGGUCACUUGUUCUUUUAUUCUCCUAAACUCAUAAAACAUGUAUUUCUCUAGUUGUGUGAUGUGUUAUUUAGCAGCUCAAAAUCUUAAUUUUUUCUUCUAAAAGAAUUGUAUGGAAAUUAAGUUGUAAAUUGAAAAAAAAAAAUGUAACUUAAAGAUUUAAAAAACUUUAGAAUAAUUCUUGUAUGACAAUUAAAAAUGAAUGGUUUUUUUUUUUUUUUAAUUUAGAAAGGACAUAAUAAUAAGUAAUAAAGGAAAAAUUAAACUCCUUACAAAUGGAGUGCAUAUUUAAAAUAUGAAUUUGAUAAUUUUAAUAAAAAAUGGAUAUAUAGUGCUUCUAAUAGUUCCUAACAUUUAAGAAAAUUUAAAUUCUAAAUAUUGUACAUAUUUGAAAAAGUGAGUUCUUAGAUAAAUUUUAUAUGAUCUAAAUUAAGAUAAUCGGUUGAAGGACUGGAAUUAGUUUAAUUUUUGAAAAUUUUUAAAAUUAGAUCAAAUAAUUAAUUGAGUAGGAUUAUUUGAUAGAUAAUUAAAAUUAAACUAUUAUCUUAUAUGUAAAAAAAUAUAGUUUAUUCCCAUCAAACAAUAAAAUUUUACACUAAUUAAGACUCUAAAUAUCCAUCAACCAACAACCAAAAUCCUCUAUCUUAUUUUUAUCAAUUUUUAGCAUUGUCUAGUCUAUCAAGUUUUACACUGAUCUAAAGAUUCUAAAUAUCCAUCAGCCAACAAUCGAAUUUCUAUCAUACACGAAAAUUUAUAAAAUAUAAAUACUAAAAAGGAUAUAAUAUUUUUUUCUCCUCAUUAAUUAGCAAAAUUAAAGGUCUAAUGAAGAUAUUACUAUGCAAGAAGACGAAAAACAUGUACACCCGUUUUCCUUAGCUCACACCCAAAUGGGAUCCUACUUCAUAAUUUGUAAACUCAAAAGAAUGUAAAUAGGGAGGAGGCUAACUUUAUAUUGAAAAAUAUAAUUUAAUCUAAUAUUUAAAAAUUGCAAAACGAUGUAUUUAUUAAUAAGAAGAUCAUUAAGAAGAAAAUAAACGUUAAUAUUUCACAAACAAAAAGAAAAUGGAUGAUGAUCAAAUGCGCCGAUUAUUUGAAAGCUUUUGUGUUAGAAGCCUUUUCAACACUUAUGGCUAAUUCAAUAGUUUCCUUUCUUCCUUUGAUGUAACAAAACUUCAUAAUUAAAAAAAAAAAAAAAAGGAAAGCCAACAUUCAAUAUACAAACUUAAUUAGUUGAGAAAAAUUUCACUGAACAAAAAUCAUAUUUAUAGAAAAGAUAUUACCAAUUAACAUAUAAGAAAAAAUUAUCUUUAAUGGUGACGGCUUGGAAAAACAUGAUGUACUACGAAAGGAAAUAUGAAACAAUAAAAAAAAUAAAUAGGUUGUUGUUCUAGAUCUAAAAAUCACCUGUCAAUAAAAAAUUUGUAAGAAAUUUUGAAAGAAUUUUGUUUGCUAAUAAAUGAAGGAAUGUAAUGGGAAGAUAAUUUGAUUAUCCCUCUAAAUGAGGUAUAAAUAGAUGUAUAAAAUAGGGUUCUAAGGUUUUAUUUAUGGUGAAUAGUAUCAAGGUAUUUUUAAAUUACUUUUAAAUGACAUAUUUAUAGGCUUAUUAAUUGGAUAAUGAGUAGAAUGUAUAGGCAACUUUUAAAUGAGAGUAUAUAGAUAAUUUUAAAAAAUGAUAAAUAUAUUUUAAAUUUUAAAUUAUAUUACCUUUUUUGUGAGAAAUUACAUUACUUCAUUUAUACAUAUGUAAUUUAUUACUUUAUUUAUUCAUGUGUAAUUUAUUUGAAUUUAUUUAUCUUUUUAGAUUUUUUAAUUUGUGAAUAAUCAAAUUAGAUUGACAUUUAAUUUAAAAUAUAAAAGAGAUUUGGAUAACUAAUAAUUAUUUUAAAGAGAUUUAUUUAAUUGAAAAAUAGCAUAAAAUAGGAAUUGUCCUACAUGUUAAAUAAAUAGAUUAUCUAUCUAAGCAUCCAUAAAAGCGAACUUUAUUCGGUAACUAUAUAUCUUGUAAUAAUAUGUAUGAUUUGAAAAUAAAUAGUAGUAGCCACCAAUCUCUUUUAUUUAGAUGUGAUUGGUUACCUAUUAAAAUUUAUCUUUCUAAUAAAUAUUUUAAAAUUAACUAAAAAGAUAAUUUUUGAGCCUAUGAAAAUAGUUUGAAUUCAAGAGUCGGUUACGCGUGCGGAAUGAUUAGUAUCCUUAUAGCGCCUGUUUAAAACGAUGCCAAUUAAUAAUGUGUUAUCUUUUAUUUUUAACUAGAAUGAUCUUAAUUUUGGUAUUUAAUGUUUAAUUUUCUUAAUUUUCUUUAUUGUAAAAAAAUAUUUUUAUUUUAUCAUUUUAUUUUAGUAUUUUUAUUUUUGAAAAAUAAAUAAGAACCUUGCAUAUUAAAAAUUUUUUAAAAAUAUUCUAAUAUUUUGGCAAUAUUAAUUGGAACUUUCUCACUUAAAAAAUUCUUAAGAAUCUCUACUCAAAAUUCUCAAAAAUCUUAUUCUCAAUGAUUCAUAUUUAUCAUUAUAAUUUAUAUUUAAUAAACUAAUUGUAGAAUAUGAUAACUAUGAUUUAAUCAAAUAAUAUUUUGUAAAAUUUAUUUUUAAUACUAAAAUAAGAAAUCAUUAUAAAAAAAUCAUUAUAAAAAAUUAUUCUAAAUGUCCCAAUACGUUGGCGGUAUUUUAGAUAAAUUUCAUAUCUAGAGAUUCUUAAAGAAUCAUCACUCGAAUUUCUUUAGAAUCUCAUCUCAGAUGUUUCAUUUUUUUAUAAUUAUUAAAAUUUAAAAAUCAUGUAAUAGUAUAAUUAUUUAUAAAUAAGUUUAUUUCCUAAAAGUACUUUUAUAAAUAUUAAAUAUAUAUUUAUCUUUCUUUUUUCUAGUGGAAAAUUAUUCAAAUUAAAGAAAAAAUAAAAAUAAAAAUCUUUGUAUUGAAAAAAGUUUCUAAAUAUUUCAGUACUUUAAUAAUUUUUAGUAGCAGUUUCUCACUUAGAGAAUUAUCAAGAAUCACUACUCAGAAUUUUUAGAGUCCCAUAUUCGGAUUUCAUAAAAAAAUACAAAAUUAUGAAUUAAUUUAUUAUUAUUAUUUUUAAAAAAAAUUAUUUUCAUAAAGUAAAUUCUUUUUUUUUAGCAUGCAUGCAUAAAAAAAAUAUUAAAUAGACAUAAUAAAAAUGGGUUAAAAGUAUUAAUGAUUAUACCCUGUUAAGCUUUAGAGUUGAACAUAAAGAAAAUCCAAAAAAUGGCUUAAUGUCAAGUCCACAACUAACAAGUUGGACAAAAUUCACUGGUCACGAGCUGGGUCAACAAUGUUGGGCACUCUCUGGGUCACAAGCAAGGAUGGGUGGAUCCGAUUUAAGUCGAAUUAGUAGAUUGACCUGGGAAUUCCUCUUUUUAUUGUUUAAAUGGUGCGUUUAGCACCAAAACCCUUUUUUUUUUUUUUUGGGUAAAAGCUAUUAAAGGUAGAAUUUUUUUUAAAAACUAAUUCUACCUUUUCAUUGAAAAAAAAUCAACCCUCCCAACUUAGCCUAACAACUAUUAGUCUUAUCUAGAUUCAAGCACCGACAUCGUCGCUCCUCUAUUGUCACUUGUCGUUCAUCGACUACAAUUUAUUCCCUUUCUUCCUCUCUUUUUUUUUUUCGCUUAUUUUUCUCUUUCUCUUUUUUGAUUCGGCGGUCUCAACCCUAAAAAAAACUUCUCAGUCACUGAUCCUAAGUGCCGCUGUCGCCGCUACUAACCCUCAAUGCCUCUAAUGCUACCUCAAUUCUUCCUCUGCCAUUCCUUUUUUCUUUUUGUUUUUUUGUCUUAUUUUUUAAAAAUGAAAUUGAUUUUUUUUUAUUUCACAAGAUUCGUUCAGCACUAGGUUCCUUUUUACGUGGAGAACUAUGUUUUAUUUUGAUUUUUUUUUUAUUUUUUGAUAGGUGUUGAUAGGUUGCGAGUGUGGUGUUUUUUUUUUAAAUUUUUUUUAUGGUUUUUGGUGGGGGAAUGAUGGCUAGGUAAGGCUUGUCCUAGUGGAUUUUAGGGGUUUUUUGGUGGAGGCUAAGUUAGAGAAUGAAAAAAAAAAAAAAGGGUUUUCUAGGGUUGGUCUUUUUUGGAGGUUAGGUAAAUGGUUAAGUUUGUUUUGACCGUGGGGUGUUGCGAUUGAAAAAGUGAUGUGUAUUGGGGGAAAAAAGAAUUUGUGCAGAGGUUGUUUGAAAUAGGGCUAGAGUUUGGAUUUUUUUUUACAAUGUCUCUCUUUGCCCAAAUUUGGUCUAUCUUCUUUUUGUGUUGAUUCUAGCUUAGUUUUAUGCAAAUGAAAUCUAUAGGGUAGAUCAACUGACGAUAUGGGUGAGUGAAUAAGUGGUAGUAUAGGUGAGUCUGGGGCUUGGUGAGUUGUGUUAAAGACUUUGGUAUGCAGGCAACAAGGCAUGGUGCAAGCAAAGGCUACUGAUGGGUUAAAACUUUGGGGGUGGAGCUAGCAAGGGCUAUGCCUUUGAAAUGGUAAUGGUGGGUUUAGGUUUGGGAUCUUUUGGUCGAGGGCUCUUCAAACUUAGUGUUGGUGCUUGGGCUUGGAAAAGAAUAUGGCUAUGGUGUUGGUGGGAAAGGCAAUUAAGGUUGGGUAAGGGUGUUUUAGGAGGGUCGGUGCUCAUGUUUCAGUGAAGAGAGGCUAUUGAUGGUGUUGGAGGUUGGUUGGGGUUGGUUCUCUUGGAUGUGGAGCAUGCAAGGGUAGAGAGUUCAAAAAUUUUCCUCUUAUAAUUUUUUUCUGCCCUUUUCUAGAAUCCCCUCUCCCUAUAUUUAUGAAUCUAUAUAAUAAGCGACAACAAUUCAAUUUCCAUAGAACUACCAUAAAUUUUUGCAUCAUACUAAAAAUUUGGGCUUUUUCUUGCAGCAAAUGGUGUAUGAAAGUAUGCUCGCUAGCCACUACCUAUCUUUUACCUAUUUUCUAUUCUUUAUCUUUUUUUCUUUUAAUUACUCUUUUUUAAAAAAUUAUUAUUCAAUUAAUUUCAAAUAAAGAAAUCAAAAUAAAAUUGGGAUUUAAAAAUUUUUUUGGGCCUAAAAUUGGAGCUUAAAGCUUUAAAAAUUGAUUUGGGCUCCUAUUAGGCCUUAAAGCUUGAGUGAUUGAAUUUUGAUGAAUUGAACUUUACGAUUUGAACUUUACAUUGAACUAGAUUUUAAUUCAAUGUAAACAAUUGAAAAACAAUUAAUCUGAGGUAUGUUCAAAACACAUUAAUUUAAUUACCGUACUCAAAUUAGUCCAAAUUAAAUUAUUAGAAUCAAAUGUAAAAGUCGAACAAAUGUCAUAUCAAUUCAGAUUAAAUUAGGUUGAAUCGUAAAUUAUACAAAUUGAUUCAAAAUGAUUAAUCGAGACAAACCUGAACUAGCUUAAUUUAAUUAAAUGCAAUUAAGUUAGUUCAAAUUGAAAUGUUAAAAUCAAAUUUUUUUUAAAAAUUAAACAAAUUCGAGUUAGGCCGAACAAAAUUGGAUGUCUACAACUAUCCUUUUUUACACAUUACUGAGAAUCAAGAAUAGGCCAAAGACAUAGACAACAAAUUUGUUUGAAAUAAUGAUUCAAAAUUUUUUUAAUUUUUAUUUAUUUUUGACUUUUUUUAAACUAAUAAACUUGACCAUUUGAAAACAAAUUUGAAAACUAUUUUAAACAAAAACUUAAUAACUUUUGAAAAUAAAAUAAGAGAUCAUACCCGGAGGUCUUAUAAAUCUCGAAACUUAAUCAAAUUCAGCUUGGAAGACUUACAAAUCCUAUCCAGAAGACUUAGGAAUUAUGCCUACAAAUCUUAUAAAUCUCAAAAUCUUUGAAUGCUCCUUUCAAUAUGAGGCAUUGAAACUUUGAAAAUUUAAAAUUUUUUGCCUAAAGGUCUUACAGAUUAUGCUUGGAGGUUUUACAAAUCUCAAUAUCUUUGAAUGCUCAUCGUAUCAAAAGUAUUGAAACUUUAAAAAUUUAAAAUGUUUUUCCUAGAGGUCUUAGAGAUUAUGUCCAAAGGUCUUACAAAUCUUGACAUCUUUGAAUGCUCCUCAUAUCAAAGGUGUUGAAAUUUUAAAAUUUUAAAAUGUUUUCCCAAAAAUCUUAAAGAUUAUACCCGGAUGUCUUAGAGAUUAUGCCCGAAAGUCUUACAAAUCUUGACAUCUUUGAAUGCUCCUCAUAUUAGAGACAUUAAAACUUUAAAAAUUUAAAUAUUUUAUCCAAAGGUCUUAGAGAUUAUUUUGGGUACCAACUUAAUUGGGCUUAGAUUAAUUUGGGUGCCAGUUAGACUGGACUUAGUAUACUAGCUAAACUAGGCUUAAAUAUCAUUUGGAUACCAGUUGAUCUAAGCUAGACUAAGCUUAAAUAUUAUCUAGAUACUAGCUGAUUUGAGCUUAUGUGCUAGCUAAUCUGGCUUAAAGUUUGAUCAGAUACCAGCUAGAUUGGGCUUAAGUCUUAUCAUAUGUCAUAUCUCAUAUUUUUCAUUCAUUUUUCAACAACCCCUCCACUUUUUGUAGAUAAAUUUUUUUUCAACUCUUCAAACUUUUUUGCCAUUUUGGUUUCUUGUCAAACUAUUUUAUCUUUUUUCCCAUCUUUUCAUGUAGACUUCUCUCUUUUUGCCUUUUUUUUUGCUAUUUUUCUUUUUUUCCUUAUUUGUUAAUAUUUACAAAGUUGACAAACACACUCAUGAUACAAAUGUCUAUUUUCAUAUAAUGAUACGAAUGUGAAUGUCUAUGCAAAUGUGAGAAUGUGAAUGCUUAAUGCAAAUACAAUUGACUUUUUCACAAUGCAAAUAUCAAUGUUCCUUUCAUGUAAAUACCCCUAUAAAUAUUUUUUCUAUGAUGCGGAUGUAAUGAUGCAAAUGCAAAUUUCUUUCUUAUGAUACAAAGGCAAGCAAGGCAAUUACGAAUUUACUUUCAUGAUGUAAAUACAAAUGCAAAUGUCUUUCUCAUGAUGUAUAUACAAGUGCGAAUGCAAGUGAUGUAAAUGCGAAUGUCUUUUUCAUGAUGUAGAUGUGAAUGUGAAUGUCUUUCUUAUGUUGCACAUGCAAUUACGAAUGCAAGUAAUACAAAUAUAAAUUUCUUUUUUUUGUGAACACAAGUGAUGUGAAUGCGAAGACUUUUUUUGUUUUUGCAACAUGUAGAUCAAAUAUCUUUCUGAUUAUGCACAUGUAAAUGUAAGUGACGUGAAUGCGAAAACUCUUUUUAUUUUUGCAACAAGCAAAUCAAAUGUCUUUCUAAUGAUGCACAUGCAAUUGAUACAAAUGUGAUUUUGUUUUACCAUGCAGGUCAAAUAUCUUUUGCCAGUGAUGCAAAUGCAAAGACUCUUUUUGUUUUUUUUUUUUUUGAAAGAUCUUUGUUCAAAAUUUCAAUAUUUAGUCUUCAUCAAUAAUGAUCUUAGUAUUUUGUACAAAAUGUUCAAAUAAUCUCUAAACUUUUCAAAAAAGAUCACAUAAUUGCCCCACAUAAAGUAUCUUUGUAAUCAAUGAGAAAAGUUGAAAACUCAUGACAUUUGAAUCUCUUGAAAAUUGAUGAUUACUAUUUGGAAUGCUUGGGGAUAGAGGUUGUCGACAAUUCAAUUCUUUUCACUGGUGUACAUAUCUGAAAGAAAGUUCGAUGAGGGUUACAAGGAUUAUUCUUGGGCUUACAAAAGAGAUCAUUUUUCAAAAACACUUUUCUUUUAUUGAAAAUAUGAUACUUCAUUGUGCAUCAAAACUAACCAUUAUUUUUUGAAAAAGAUUUGGGAAGAGAAAAAGGUUGGUUUUUUAUUUUCAUUCUUUGGUGAAAUGUAAAGUUUUUAAUGAGUAUUGAUUCUUCUGAAUAAGGUUUUGCAUUGUGACUUUUUAUUCUGAAUAAAAUCUUAGAAUUCUAAAAUUUUUUUAGUGCCUCAAGAGUGGCUUUAGAUCUUAACUGCCAUUUUUUUGUUUCCACCUUAAAGCUAUAUUUUCUAAUAAUGAAGAACUUGGCAAAAUCUUGUCAAAUACUAACGGAUAUAUAUAAAUUUUCAAGGACAUAACUCUUUAAUUUAAGUGUCUGUAUUUGAUCAGAAUAGACUUUUCAAGGUAUGUAAUGUAAGCCAAGGUUUAGGAUUCUGAAAGAAUGGAUAAAUAGGUUUAAAAUAUGUUAUUUAGGGUAAUUAGGCCAAGGAUCUUACAGAGCAUUCUCUAGAUAAAAGCCAUGUGUCUUUCUUUCUUUACACCUUUUUUUUUUUUCGAAACAUUUGAUUUCAACUUUAUCAUUAUUCUUUCUUAAAUUUUGUCUUUUUUUUUUUACUUAAGAUUCUAACUAAUGCUUCAUUCACUUUAUUCACUCUCAUCUCUGAAGAGCAUUUUUUUUUUAAACAUCUAACUUUAACUUUAACAUUCUACUUUCUUAAAGUUUUACUUAGAAUUCUAACUAAAACUUUAUUCACUUUUUACCCCGAAUUCUUAUCUUCGAGCUACAUGUCUUUCUUUUCUUUGCUCCAUUUUUUUGAGAUUCUAAUUAAAGCUAGUCUCUUAAAGAUAUCCUUAUUUUAUCCUAUGUGUAAAAGAUGAUCUUUAACCGUGGCUCAUUUUGGAACAAAAAGUUUAAUAGGCUCAAAUAGGUAGUAAUUGGAUAAUUUUUCUUUAUAUGAAGGAUAGAGAAAGAUUGUGAUUCAUGUUGUAUAGGAUUUCCCACAAAUUUGAUCACAUAGUUCACAAAAAAGCUCAUUUUAUCCCAAAUUAUUUGGUAUUUUUGAUAAAAUAAGGGGAAAAGGUAUUAAUGCAUGAAACAAAUUAUUUUAGGCAAGAAAGAAUUUUGCUUCUUUUAGUCAAUGUGCCUUAAGACUUGAAACAAGGGCUACUUGAGAAAAAUUCAAGCAUUUUUUGAAUCUUUGGUAUUCGAAAGAAUUUGGAUGGUUCAAUUAUAUUGGCAAAAUUUGACACACAUUGAAUUACUAAAUACAAAUUUGAAAAAAUAUCUUGUUUGGUUUUCAAAAUCCAAAAUAAAAUUUUAAAAUUGGCCUAUUUUGUUCAUUGCCAAAGAAAAGAUUAUUAUCUCAAUAUAUCAAAUGAUGACAAAGUUCACAAGUUAAAGUUCAUACCCUUAAAGGAUUAUGACUAGUAAGCGAAGUUAUUCAAAAAGAUUGAAGUGUGGAAGCGGUCAAGGAAAAGUGUGAAGGUAUUGGAUAAGUUUAUUUUUUUAAUAGUAAUCACCAAUUACUUUAACAUUCUCACCAUUUAAAAAAUGUAUAUUUACCUUUGAAAAUGCCUUUUUUUUAAUUUUUCUUUUUGGUUUUGAUCUUGAAAACUACUUAUAUGGGACUUUAUUACAAAUAAUUUUUUUUAAGCACUUUUUAUUUUAUGAUUUUGAAAAUCAAUUAUGUGAGACUAUUAUUCAAACAAAUGCAUAAAGAUAAAAUUUCAUAGAAAAGUUGAAAGCAUUCAUUUCUUCCAAAAUAAAAUUCAACAAGAUUAAUUUAAAAAACUCCUAAGGACACUAUACAUAUGUCAUACAUAAUAGGUCAAAGGUUAAAAAAAAUCAUCUUAUCUUGAUUUUUCAACACUCGAAACCUUUUUUCACAUUUUUACUAUUUACAUUUUGCAACUAGAUAGAGUUAAUUUCCAUUAUUCCAUUAGUUAUAGAGUCAGAAUACCACUAUUGAUAAGAUCCUCAACAUUUUCUUUUAGUUGUCUAUAUUUUUCAAUUGAAUGGUCAAUUGUCCUCAUAUGAUAAUCACACUUGCCAUUAUGAUCAUAACUCAUUGUCAAUGGAUUUGGUGUUAUUUUUGGAGGCACAAGAGUAAGCUACCGGCCUUCUAUUAUUAAAGGUAAAAGGUAAAAGGUAAAAAAUAAGGAUUGAAAAUUUUUCUCAAUUAUUUUUUAGUCUUUUUUUAUUCUUUGUUAGUCAGGUGGUAGGUUCAAGUGUGGGAACAUGAUCAUGAAUGGUAAUCCAAGGAUGAAGAUUUUUCAAAAAGUCAAAGUAAUAGCUUAGUUGAUAAAGAUAUGAGCUUUUAGAGAUAUUACUUAUAACUAAAAAUGGGGUUGAUGACAAGGAUAAAAAUUAUAGAGGAUAAAUUCUUGGGUAAAUGCCCCUCAAAUGUGACUGCUUGUACCUUCAUUUCAUUCUUUUCCAAUGUAUUUCUUUUUUCAACAUCAGUUGCAUCUUUCAACUUAAUCAUGCCAUCCUUGAUUGUAUUUUUUAUCAUUUUUUUAGUAAUCACUAUGUCAGCAAAAUUUUUAAAGAUAUUACUAAUAAUCUUUUCAUAAUAGGGAGUGUUCAGGGAAUUGACAAACAGAACAGAGAUUUUUUUCUUUGAUAGGGGUGGUUGUAUUUAGGCUACCAUAUCUCUCUAUCUGUAUGUAUAUUUUUUAAAAGUUUUGGUUGACCUUUUCUUCAUGUUUUGUAAGGAUAACCUAUCUGGCAUCAUAUCUUUAACAUACUUAUAUUAUGCUAAAAAGGCCCUAGCCAAAUCAUUUUAGGAGCAAAUCUUGCUUCGAUCUAGCUAGGCUUAUCACCUUGUUAUAGACCCAAUGAGACUAUCUUGAAAGUAAUGAAUUAAUAACUUAUCAUCAUAAGUGUAACCCAUUAUCUUUCAAUAGUACAUGGGGAUGUGUGUUAAGGGGCAUCUCAUUUUAUCAUACUUCUUGAAGUUAGAAAUCUUAAACUUUGUAAGGAUAACCAAGUCAGGAUCUAGGUUAAGCUUAUUGGCAUUAAUAUUCUUGAAAACAUCAUUUUUUUCCACUACCUCGAGUCUCUUUUCUAGUAACUUAUACUUGUCUUUUAGGUCAAUUUUAUCAAUCAGCUUAGGUAUCCCUUUCAACUUCUCCCAUUCUUUGGGGUCAUCUAGGUUAGGUAUCAUAAUGAGAUAAUAAAGGGUAGGCCUGGGAUUGAUAUUCAUCUAAACUGGGGGUAACUUGGCAGAAGUAUCAAAAUAAGGUUGAUGGGUUACUAAAGGUGUUUGUGACAUAUAGAGGUCUUGAACAUAUGGAUAUUAUGUGAACCUAGAUGGAUAUGAUGGUUUUUCAACACGGUUGUUUCCUCUCUUGCCCUAUGUGUUUUAACAAUCCCUUUUUCCUUUUGUCAAACUUGCUAAUAUCUAUUUUAAUUUUGCUAACUACCUAUCCAUAUUCUGUUAUAUUUUUGUAACUAUUUCCCCGAUCUCUCUUUAGGCCCUUUCCAUUAUAUCCAUUCGACUUAUAGUUUCAUUUUCCAUGAUUUUGGUAUAAGUUUGAGUGUUGUAAGUACGUAGACUUAACUGAUCUUGUUUCCUAUGACAUGCUAUCCCUGAACAUUUUAUUAAUUACUUGAAGUUAGAAAUGCAUGACAUGAAUUCUAUUAUUGAAACUUUCAAAAAUAUCUUUUUACUUCAAACACAUACUUACAAUCAUUAUUCUUUGUCCUUAGCUAGUAUGAAAAAUAAUGGAUUCAAACAAAUGAUGCAUGAUAUGCAAGUCAAAUUUUAUUAUUAUUGAAAAAAAGCUCAAUUUUCAUCCUAUAUUCAAGUUGGGUUGUUUAAAGACAUUCUUUUCGCCUCAAAAGUUACAUGAAAGCAUAUUUACAACUAUCAUUCUUUUUCAUGGGAUCUUUUAGGCAUAUGAAAUGUAAAUAGAGACAUCCAUUCAUAGAAAAUUCAAGUCAAAAGACUUUUUCGUUCAUUCCCAAAAGUUUUAGGUUUACACAUCAUGAACUAUCCUAAGCUAAGGCCAUAAAGUGCUAGACUCACUCAUACUCCCCAUUGCCUCAUCUAAGAAAUUCAAAAAAAGUUGACUACGAUUGCUGGUAGGGAUAACCCUUUGCUUUAAAGCUUUUACUUUUUAUUCAUUAUCUUGGCCAGUUUUAUUACUGCCUAUAGCACUGCUUACUAUCUUGGCAUGGAUCAAUAAAGGAUUCUUGUAAAUAAUUGGCUUCAUUUCGGCAUCAAAACUCAAAUAUUCAACUUUUAUCAAUCCAUGUAGCUUGUAUUUCAAUGGAAUGCAGUCUUCUAGAGAAUAGACCAUAACAUCAAAAUGGUAUUCACAUAAGGCAUUCGGGUCAUACCAUUUGGGAUAAGGUGGUUUGAAGGGUUCAAUAGGGACAAGGGCAAUGAGGUAAUUUUUUAAGAGUAGUGGGUAUAAAUCUAAGACAUGGGUAUUGGAUCAAUAGGGGUUUUUCCUUUGAUCUUAGUGGUGCGAGAGUUUUUCUAUUCUAUGGUUCAUUUACUUUGUUGAAAAUACAGUGGUGUAGUUGGUCUUGGAGUGAAUUGGGAAACUUUAGGUCAAAAAUUAGGUUGAAAAGAUGGUGUGAUAGGAUAGCAUACUGAACAAGUGAUUUUGAAAUGUAAGGUAGUGGAUAUGAAUUCAUGUGUGAAUUUCUUAUAGGUUGCAUGAAGUUUGGGGACCUAAUCCUAGGCGCUUGCAAAAAAGGUUGAAAACAGUCAUGAAAAGUACUUAAGUGUGCGUUUAGACUUAGGAUAAUUGGUGAGGAUUGUUUGAAACUGGGUGACUCCAUCUUGAAAAUCAAACUUUUGAGUUCAAUCAUUUACAUGACCAAUUCACCCAUUCCUUUCUUGAGCUCGCCCAAACUUUGAUCACUAUUCGAAUUAUCUAAUGCCUUGUAUGCCUAGGAAAAGUACUGAAACCAGCAACAGUCAAUUGAUAUUUGAUAUGAUGGAAUUUGGAAUGACAACAAUCCUUGAGAAGUAACAAAAUUAACCAUACCCCUAUCUAUAACAAAUUCUAUCAAUUAAGUAAUCUAUUGUUUCAUCUCUCGAAGCUCGAGCCAAAAUUUCUUUUGAUUUAACUCCAAUGCACUAAUCCUUGCUUCCUAUUAAGGUUCCAUUUUCACCAUUUUGAUUCCCACCAAGAUAGUCAUUUUAUUAUGUAAUUUAGACCAAAAAUUAUAUAUUAUUACCCUUAUUGAUGAAUGCCACAAAAAUAAUUUCUAACUUAUAUGGCACACAAAGCAUGUAUAUGUAUAUGAAUAUGAAAAUGAUGCUUAAAGAAUGUCAAGAAAUGCAAAUAUGCCCAAAAUGAUGAAUUUUUUCAUGUACCAAGCACCAAAUGAUAAAAAUUUCAUCACUUAUGAAUGUGUAUGUAAGGAAUGUAAUGUUGUAGUGUAGGGAUGAUAGGGUAUGGAAUGCAAUGCAUGUUCCAUAAAACCCUACCAUUCAUGAAUCUAUAUGCAUGAAAUGCCACAACAUAUUACAUGAGUAUUAGAUAUAUACCUAUGACUAAUGCAACAUAUUUGUAUGCAAUGCACUAACCUAUCAUGUGAAUGAGAUAUGUUUACAUAGAAUGCGAUGCAUGUGUUGUGUUGGCCUAAUAAGGUUGACAUUACCUUAAAAUAUAUAAUGAGAUGAAAUGCAUGCACUACCUAUUAAGAUGUGCAUGGGAUGCAUGUGUAUUAAAUGGAAUGUAUGUACUAUUUAUUGAUGUGGAUGGGAUGAAAUACAUGUAUCAUUUUUUAUUGAUGUGCAUGAGAUAUGGUACAUAUAUUAUUUUAUUAUCAUGUGCAUGAGAUGAGGUACAUAUAUUAUCUUAUUAUUUUAAUUUUUUUAAAAGAUAAAAAUGUAUGCAAAAGAUCAAAUGAAAAUGCUAAAAAUGAAACAACAGUCAAACUUAAAAUUCUUUUUUUUUAAUUAGGAAAAGAAAAAAAUUCAAGAAUGCACAUUUUUUAUCGCACAGAAUAACUAGAAUUCAAAGAUUUUUUUCUAUCUUUUAUUAAUUUAUAUCUGGCCAAUAAACGAAGAAUUAAAAAAAAACUUUUAUUUUUGAAAAUUUUUGUUUUUUUUUUAUUGGAUAAUACUAAAAAAAAUUUUCAUUUUAUUUUAAAACAUUUUUGAAAAUGCAAAUUUUGGAUAACCACAAAAUGAAUAAACUAUAUGUUAAAAGAAUUUUGUUUUUAAAUGUUUUUUUUUCAAAAUUUUAAUUUUAUCCACGCCAUUAUUGUCCCUACAUGCAUAUUGUAUUAGAGUGGCCUAAUUUAAGGUACUUUUUUCUAAAAGGUUGGCAAAGGUUUACCUAAGGCUAUUUCCUUAAAGUUCAUGAUAUAUUGAAUAAGGACUUAUACGUCUAAAGGUUCUCAAAUUAUUUCUCACCAGCAUCCACACAAGACUAGUAAGGCACCCUAAUUCUCACCCAUUAUAGGUUACAAACGAAAAGUGUUCACUUAGUGUGGGAGUAUUUCGCUUGCCAUUGCAAAGGUUAUCACCUCACGAGAGCAAAAGUACUCUGCUCUCUUCAAAAAUAGACAAAGUUAGGGUAUAGAGCUCAUGCAUGAUAUGAGAUGUGUCUUCGUGUAUAUGAGAGAAAAUGACAUCGCAAUUUCUAUCCUACAUGUCCCACAAUUUAUUAAGAAUAACAUAUAUAAAAAUAAAAUAAUGGAUAAAUGACAUAAUUUAAAUGAAAUGCAUGUAAAUGUUUUAUUACUAUUGUUAUUUAAACAAAAUCAAAAUCAAGAAAAUUAAAGUUAAAUACCAAUUAAGACCAUUAAAUCAAAAUUAAAGAUAACAUAUAAUUAGUUUUCUAGCUUGACUUUCUAAAAAAAUAAUAUCCCUAGUAGAGUCGCCAAGCUAUCAUAAGGGUUUUGGGGUUUACUAGAUGAAUUUGAAAAUAAAAAAGAGUCACCACUAAUCUUUGUUGGUUAGGUGCAAUUGAUCAUUUAUUAAAAUUUAUCCUUUUAAUAAAAAUUUUAAAAUUAAUUAAAACUUUAUCAAAAAGAUAAUUUUUGGUCUGCGAAAACAGUUUAAGUUCAAAAGUUGGUUACACGUGGAGAAUGAUUAGCACCCCAACAGUGCUUGUUUAAAACGAUACCAAUUAAUUAUCUGUUAUCUUUCAUUUUUGACUAAAAUGAUCUUAAUUUUUGUAUUUAAAGUUUAAUUUUCUUAAUUUUCUUUAUUGUAAAAAAAGCUAUUUUAUCAUUUUACUUUAGUAUUUUUUUUUAUUUUUGAAAAAAAAAUAAGAACCUUGCAUAUUGAAAAAUUCUUGAAAAUAUUCUAAUCCUUCAGCAAUAUUAUAAAAACUUUCUCACCUAAGGAAUUCUUAGGACUUUACUCAAAAUUAUCAAAAAUCUUAUUCUUGUUGAUUCAUAGUUAUCAUCAAAUUUUAUAUUUAAUAAAUUGAUUGUAGAAUAUGAUAACUAUGAUUUAAUCAAAUAAUAUUUUUUAAAAUUUAUUUUUAAUACUAAAAUUAAAAGUCGCUCUGAAAAAUUAUUCUUAUUGCUCCAAUACGUUUGCAAUAUUUUAGAUAAAUUUUCAUUAUUUAUAAAUAAUCACUACUCAAAUUUCUUUAGGAUCUCAUUCUUGGAGAUUCCAUUUUUUUAUAAUUAUUAAAAUUUAAAAACCAUGUAAUAAUAUAAUUAUUUAUAAAUAAGUUUAUUUCUUAAAAAAAACCAUAUUCUUAUAAAUAUUUGAUUUUUUUUAUUUUUUGGGUGAAAAAUUAUUCAAAUUAAAAAAAUAAAAUAAAAAUUUUUGUAUUGAAAAGAGUUUCUAAAUAUUCCAAUACUUUAAUAAAUUUUAGAAGUCUUUUCUCACCUAGGGAACUCUUAGGAAUCACUAUUUAGAUUUCUUGGAGUCCCAUCAUCAGAUUUCAUAAAAAAAAAUAAAAAUAUAUGAAUUAAUUUAUUAUUAUUAUUUUAUUUUUUUAAAAUUUAUUUUCAUAAGGAAAAUUUUUUUUUUAAGCAUGUAUGCAUACAAAAAAAAAAGAAUAAAUAAACAUAAUAAAAAUAAGCUAAAAGCAUUAAUGAUUAUACCUUACUAAGCUUUGGAGUUAAGCCUAAAGAAAAUCCAAAAAAUGGCUUAAUGUCAGGUCCACAACUAAUGAGCUGGGCUAAAUUCACGGGUCAUAGGCUGGGUCAACAAUGUUGGGCACUCUCUGGUCCUUGGUAAGGAUGGGUUGGAUCUAAUGUAAGUUAGAUUGGUAGAUUGGCCUAGGAAUUCUUCCUCUUAUUGCCUCAACAGUGCAUUUAGCACCAAAACCUUUUUUUUUUUUUAGUAAAAGCUAUUAAAGGUAGACCUUUAAAAAAAAAAAUGCUCAUUCUACCUUUUCAUUUAAAAAAAAAAUCAAUUCUCCAAACUUCUCCCAAUAGCUAUUAAUCUUUUCCAGAUUCAAGCACUAGCAUUAUCACUCCUUUGUCACCAAUCACCAUUCAUUGGCUGUGAUUUAUUCCUUUUUCUCCUUUUUUUCUUCUUUUCUCCUUAUCCUUUCUAGUCCCACGAUCUCAACCCUAAAAAAAACUUUUCAAUCACCAAUCCCAAAUGCCACCAACGUCGUUGCCACCCAUCAAGGCCUUCAAUAUCACCUCAACUUUUGCUUUACCACUCAUUUUUCUUUUUUUUAUAUUUUUUGUCCUAUUUUUUUAAAUGAAACUAAUUUUUUUUUGUUUCAUAGGAUUCACUCGACGUUGGAUUCCUCCCUAUGAGGAGGAUUGUGUUUUAUUUGAUUUUUUUUUAAUUUUUUAUGGCUGUGGAUAGGUUAUGGGUGGGGUAUUUUUUUGUGGGUUUUUUUAUGGUUUUUGGGUGAAGGAAUGGUGGCUAGGUAAGGGUUGUCACAGUGGAGCUUAGGGGUUUUAUAGUAGAGAUUAAGUUAGGGGAUGAAAAAAAAAAGUGGGUUUUUUUAGGUUGGUCCUUUUUGAAGGUUGAAGAAACUAUUGAGUUUGUUUUGGCUGUGGAGUAUUGCAGUUGAAAAGGUGACAAGCGUUGAGGGAGAAAGGACUUGGUGUAGGGGUUGUUUGAAAUAGGGUUGGAGCUUGGAUUUUUUUUUUGUAGCAUCUUCCUUUGCCCAAAAUUGAUCUCUCUUUGUUUUGUGUUGAUUCUAGCUUAGUUUUAAGUAAAUGGAAUAUACAAGGUAGAUCAACUGAUGGUAUGAGUGAGUGAAUGAGUGACGGUAAGGGUAAAGGUGAUUUGUGUCAAGGACUCUAGGAUACGGGCGAUAAGGUUGGCAUGAGCCAGGCUAGUGUUGGGGCUGGAACUUUUGGGGUGGACCUGGCAAGGGCUAUGUCUUUGAAAUGGUAAUGACGGGUUGGGGUUUAGGACCUUCUGGUCGAAGGCUUUUGAAACUUGGUGUUGGUGCUUGCAGCUUGGAAAAAAAGGUGGCUAUGUGUUGAUGGGAAUAGUAGUCAAGGUUGGGUGAAGGUGUUUUAGAAGGGCCGAUGUUCAAGUCUGGGUGAGGAGAGGCUGUUGAUGGUGUGAGGGUUGGUUAGGGCUUGGCCAAGGUUGGUUUUCCUAGGUGUGGAGUGUGCAAAUGUGGAGGGUUCAAAGAUUUUCCUUUUGUAAUUUUUUUCUCCCUUUUUUCCAAAAUCCCCCUCAUGUAUUUAUAUCUAUCGAUCUGUAUAAUAAGCCACAACAAUUCAAUUUUCCAUAGAACUACCACAAAUUUCUGCAUCACACUAAAAAUUUGGCUUUUUCGAGUCACAGAUGGUGUUUUACAUGUAUGCUUGUCGACCACUACCUAUCAUUUACUUGUUUUUUAUUCUUUGUCUUUUUUUUAAUUACCUUUUUUAAAAUUAUUAUUCAAUUAAUUGAAUUUAAUUAAUUUCAAAUAAAGAAAUAAAAAUAAAAUUGGGAUUUAAAAUUUAAUUUGGGCCAAAAAUUGGAGCAUAGGGCCUGAAUAUUGAUUUGAGCUUUUAUUUGGCCUUAAAGAUCAAGUGAUUGAAUUUUGACUUGAGAUUAAACUAAAUUGAACUUUAGGAUUCAAACUUUACAUCAGAUUAGAUUUUAAUUCAUGUAAAUGAUUAAGAAACAAUUAAUCUGAGGUCAAUUUGAAACAUAUUAAUUCAAUUACCGUGCUCGAAUUAGUCCAAAUUAAAUUAUUUGAAUCAAACAUACAAAUCAAACAAAUGUCAAAUCAAUCCAGAUUAAAUUAGGUUAAAUCCCAAAUUAUGCAAAUUGAUUUGGAAGUGAUUAAUUUGGGACAAACUUGAACUUGCUUAAUUUAAUUAAAUCCAAUUAAGUUAGCUCAAAUUCAAAUGUUAAAAUCAAAAUUUAAAAUAAUCAAACAAAUGUGAGUUGCGUUGGAUAAAAGUGAAUGUCUACAAGUCUCUCUUAAGAAAUUUAAAACAUUAAGAAAAUCUUAACACAUUGCAAUUAUGACUUUAGCCAAUUAGGGGAAAACUUGUUCUUCUUUCGUUGAUAUGGGUGUGGAAACUAUCUUAAUUAUUACUAGUUAUUAUAUAAGUGUGUACUAGUAAAAAGAGAUGUACAUAACACUAUUAAAAAUUAUUUUAUCAUUUUUACUAGCAAUUAGUGCAUGUUACUAGAAAUUAUUUUAUCAUUAUUUUAUUUUAAUAAUAAUCUUCUAAACUAAGUUAAGAGUCUUUGAGUGUUUUAUGACAUUUUCUACAUUUAGUUUAUUUGUCGGGUUUAUUAGUUUGUUUAGUAUUUUUAAGAGGUGAAAUCAUUUUACAAAUCAAUUAGUUUUACAAUGUUGAGUUUAUAUAUUUCUAUUCUAAGUUGAAGUCUAAUGUACACUUAAUUCAGCAAAAUAAUAAGAAUUCUUUCUUUCAGCCUUCCUUUAUUAGUUUUUCUUUUUUCUUACAAAUAUUUCCUCUAUUUUGUUACGUGGUAUUAGAGCCUUGGUUAAAGUUUUUAGUUUUUCAUUCUAUUGUCUAUGAAAUAGUUGUUUUGUUGGAAAAGUUUAAAGAUUGCUAAGAGAAAUUGCUUAGGAGAUGGAAGCUAUUAAUGGGAAUUCUCAAACACAACAUGUUAUCGACAAGGUCAUGAUUUAUUGAUGUGAUAAUUCUAGCAGAUACCCAAGAAAGUAUUGAACUUUGAAGGAAAUGAAUGAUCAAUUAAAGAAAGGCAUUCUUUGUGUUGAGCUCUUUAAUUAGCAAAUAGUACAUUAGUCAUAUUCUUGAUGUCAACUCUCCAAAGUAAGUAUGGGAGAUUCUUGAAAAGGUGUUCACUAAAAAAAACAAUAGCAAGAUUAUAAUUCUUGGAAAAUGAGUUACUAACAAUAACUUAAGAAGGUAUACAAUUUCAUAAUAUUUCUUGCAAAUUAAGAAUAUUUGCUCUAAAAUUUUAGAAUUUGAUAACAAGAUAAAUGAAUGACAUCUAUAAUGAAACCUUAUUCACAACUUGAAGAAAGAGUUUAUGUUUUUUGUCAUCCCAAUCCAAGGAUAGGCACAAAAACCAUUAGUUGAAAUAAAGAAUUGGCUUUCUAAUUAAAAGGCAUUAGCUAAGCAAAUGGUACAUAAAAGUGUUUAAACCAAAGUUUUCUUAUUCUCAAAAGGCCAAUCAAAUGAGAAGGCUGUUGCAAUCAUAAGCAAGAAUUCUUCAAAAAGGUUUAAAUAUAAGGAAAUGAAAUGGCAAUAAUCAUAUCAAAUGUUUUAGAUGAGAAAAAAUUGAACAUGUCAAGAAAAAUUGUUGCUUAAAGCUCUCAAAGGUAAACAUUGCAUACAAAAUGAAGACCAUAAUCAGAUUAUAUGAAAGCAGUGAUUUCUUACUGAAGUUAUUAAAAAUGGAGACGUAGGUGCUAAAUCGAACUCAAUUGAAGCCUUUGUUAACUAUAUCAACUAAAAGAUAAUUGGAUCAUAGAUUUUGGUUGUUUGCAUCAUCUAACUGGCAAUGUUUCAUUAUUAUUAUAAUUGCAAAAGAGAGAGUGACUGUCACAACUAAGAACUCAAUCCAUCCAUGGGAAAAAGAAUGUGUCCUGAAGCUUGAUAAUGAAUCCAAGGCUAAGAGUGUUCUUUUAAACAAUGUCUACCAUGUUUCAAGUUUGAAGAAAAACAAUUUCAAUUACUAACUCUAGAAAGUAUGUUUUUCUUUCGCCAAACAAUGUCAAACUACUUGUUAAAAUGAGAAAUAUAGAAGUUGAAGUAGUUUUUAUUGGUGAGAAGAAAGGGUACUUAUUUGUGGUAAUAGCAUAGAAAGCUUAUGUGAAGAAAACAAGCCAAACUGGCAAUGCAAUAAUUUAACGUGCAUGGUUAGGCCAUUUAAGCUAUCAAAUGUUGAAGAUAAUCUUUUCAAAGAAGUUGUUAGAUGGAAUUCUAGCCCUUAAACAUGUAUAAGAAAAUGUAAUUUAUUAAAGAUGUCAGUAUGGUAAAUCACAUCAUCUUCUUUUUAAAAGUUCAUGUAACCAAAGGUUAUAUUUUUUUGAACUCAUUUAUACAGAUUUGAUGGGCCCAAAAAAAACACCAAGUUAUAGUGUUAUCAUUACAUAAUGGUAUUGAUGGAUGACUUCUCCAAAUUCACUUGGGUGUAUUUUUUGAAAGAAAAAAAGUGAGGCCUUGUCCAAGUUCGUGAAAUUCAAGAAUUCUAUGGAGAAAGAAUUUGGUUGAAAGAUAAAAUGUCUGAGAAGUGAUAAUGGUAGUGAGAACAUGUCAAAUGAAAAUUUCAAAUAUAGCAACAACAAUAACAUUCAAUGCCCAAUAACAUGUUCGGGAACCCCUUAACAAAAUGAAGUUGCUAAAUAAAAAUUAGCUCACCUUUAUGCAACUAGUUUUUCAUGGCUGCAUGAUAUGAAACUUCCUCAAGAGCUUUAGACAAAAGAUAUUCUAUCAGCAUUCAUAUGAUAAAUCACCUACCACCAUAGUCAAGUAAAUAAAAGUCUCUUUUUCAGUUCUUAUAUGAGAUAAAGCCAAAUGUAAAUUAUUUUCAUGUCUUUGGAUCCAUUUCAUAUGUUUAUGUUCCUAAACAAAAUCGAACUAAACUUGAUCCAAGGGUAAAGAAAUGUGUAUUUGUUGGCUAUGACUUACACAGGAAAAAGUGGAGGUGUAUGAAUUUAGAGAUAAAAAAUUUAUUAUGUUUAGGGAUGUUGUGUUCAAUGAGGUAUCAUCUUCUUAUUUCACUCCAAAACUCACUAGCAAUGAUGUUGUCCUUGAUAGUGAUGGUCUAAAGAACUUGGAGCUAUUUCUUAAGCCAAAUAUACAAGCUUCAAGUGAUGUUAGUUUUAGACGUGAAGGAAAUGAAGAUCCUUUGCCAUCUAAACUAGAAAACAUAGAUUCAAUUAUGGUGAAUAUGUUAUAACAAGAUCAACAAGGGAAAGAAGACAACUAGAUCAUCUUAAAGACUAUUAAGUACAACUAAAUUAUUAUUCAACUGCUUUAGUCUCUUUUUAAGAACAUUAGGUGAAGAACAAGUAUAAAAUAAUAAAGCUAAAAGAUGUCUUGAAUAGGAAAAAGCAAUACAAGAAGAAAUUGAAGUCUUAGAAAAGAACAAAACUUGGAAACUUGUAUGUAUACUGGAUAAUCAUAAACCAACUAUUUACAAAUAUGUUAAUCAAUUGAAAAAGAAACUAGAUGGAAUGAUUGAGAGACACAAGGUUAGACUCAUUGCUCGUAGAUUCUUUCAAAGUUAUGGGUUGGACUAUGAAAAGACUUUUAGUCUAGUUGCAAAGAUGAUGCGUGCGAGAUCAAUUAUUUCACUUAUUGCCUUUAAAGGUUGGAAGCUAUGGCAGUUUGAUAUAAAGAAUGCAUUUCUUUAUGGAGAUCUAGACCAUGAUGUUUUCAUGAAGCAACCUGAAAGUUUCUUUUUUAAGCUGUUAGCUCAAAGGAAUGAAUUAACCAAGAGGAAGGUGAAUUGGUUUAUUAUAAAUUAUCAUAAAUGAUUAGCCAAUAUAAAAAUUAAAACAAAUAUAAAUUUAUAAACCAAAAUAAGUAAUAUAACAAUAUAUAUAAGCACAAGUAAAUAACUUGAAAAUUAAAAAAGUAGAGAUAAAAGGUCAAACUUUAGGAAUUAUAAAGGGUUGGCCCUUCCAAUGGCACCUAUGUCCUCUCCCUUAACUUCACUUACUAAAGAGCCCAAUCCACUAUAUCUUGAAUACUAGAACCAACCUUUCUAAGGCUAAAAUUAUAAUCUCACAUAAACCCCACAAAGGUUUUUCCAAUAUCUUACAAAUUUACUUAAAGGUUAUUCUCCCCCUUAAGUCUACUAUCUCAAAAGAUAAGCAAAAGUUUUUGCAAAUUAAAUAACAUUUCUAAGGAUUGGUGUUUACUAGCUGAAGUAUAAGUAAUUUGUGGAAAUGAAAAGUGAAAGAGUUUGGAUACAAAAAAUAAAGAAAAAGCUCAAAAACCUUUUUUUGAUCUUUAAAUGCUUGAAGGAAACGAAGAAUAGAUGUAGCUUUUCAUCUUAUUGAAUGGCUUGGAAGACUUCACGUCUUCUCCCUUAACUUCUCUUGCUAAAGAGCCUAAUCCACUAUAUCUUGAAUAGUACAAUCAAACUUUCCAAGGCUAAAAUUAUAAUCUCAUAUAAACCCUCAAAGGUUUUUCCAAUUUCUCACAAAUUCACUCAAAGGUUACUCUUCCUUUUAGGUUUACUAUCUCAAAAGAUAUACAAGAGUUUUUACAAAUUAAAUAACAUCUUUAAAGUUGGGUGUUUGCUAGUUAAAGUAUAAGUAAUUUGUGGAAAUGAAAAGUGAAAGAGUUUGGAUACAAUAAAUAAAAAAAUAAGAUCAAAAACCUUUUUCUUGAUCUUUGAAUGCUUGAAGGAAAUGAAGAAUAAAUGUAGCUUUUCAUCUUGUUAAAUGGCUUAGAAUACCUCUUUAUAUAAAGAAGAAUGGAAUUGAGCCAUUGCAAUUGAAUAAUAUUGAAAAAUAUCAUCUUUCUCUUAUUUCAAAUAGCCAUUUGGAGCUAUUUGCAAAAAAUCGACCAAUCCUAUGCAAAAAAGGAUCAAUCGGGUUAUCUGACAUUCAAAAAAAAAUUUUUGUAUCAUUAGGAGAACCGAUUGAUCCAUUUUGGUAAGAGAUUGAUUGGUUAGCUUUACAAGCCAAAUCGAGCUUUCAAGUUAAAAAAACCAAUCAAUUGGUUUUCAAAACCAAUGAUCCAAUCUGAAAACUAAUUGAUCCAUUUCAAUAAUGGAUCAAUUUAUUUUUGCCAAAUUUUUGUUCGAAAACAUUUUAUGUAAUAAACAAUUGAUUGCUUCUUAGAGGCAAUUGAUUGCUUCUAGGUUUUCAACCCAAGGUAUCAAUCCUAUUUUAGAAGGAUGGAUCCCAUUUUUUCAUUUUUGUAUAAACUUAGUUUUAAUUGAAAAGAAAGAUUAUUUUUGGUUUGAAAACAUUUUUCAUUCAAAAACUAUCUUGCAAAAUUGUUUCUUUUUUAAUUCAAAGCAAUUUAAACCAAUUUUGCAAUUUGAUUUCCCAAGUAUAAAACAUUGUUUUUAUUUAGUACAAAUAAAUUUAUCAAUUUAAUAGCAAGUACUAAAUGAAUUAAGAUAUUUAUCCUUAAUGUUUUGUCAUUUUUAAAUAAAAAUCAAUUUAAGGCUAAAAAUAUUCCCUUUUUGAUAUGACAAAACUUAAGGAUAAACUUCUUGAAAAACUCUCUUUAAAUUUAUGAACAUUUUUGAAAAAUCAAUUAUGAAAAUGACAAACUCCCCCUUAAUUAAAGCAUAAUCAAUCAAAUAAAAAUUUCAACAAAUUUUCAGUGGGUAUAAGAAUUUUCUAUUAAAGUUGAAUAGGCCUUUUAAGCACCAUUCAAAACCAUCAUAUAAAAAUUAUGGUAAAAAAUUACAGAUUUUACUUGAAUGUCGAAAUGCAAGAAACACAAAAAUUGUGGUAAUUUUUUGAAUUCAUUUUAUACAGACAAUAAAUUUAUUAUUACAAAUAUAUUAUGAAUUAAUUAUUAAACUUGGUAGCUUUAUUUAAUAAAUUUAUAAAAGAAAGCAAAAGAGAAAAUGGCCGCUAGGCAGAAGGAGCAUCUGAUUAUUAUGUCAACAUUAAAGGCAUGGAAGAUUGGAUAUUCACAGAAGUUGUUGGAAAAGAAAGACAUGGACUGGUUCGAGCACUUGGAUUGAGUCCAACACUAUCUAGCUACUAUAGACGUAGCUCUUGGUAAUAUACAUUUUCAACAAGUUAGUCUUCACAAGACAUCUCCAUAUUAAAAGGAAUUGCAAAUUAUGCAACUAUAUGUUAAGAAAAUAAAAACAGAAAAAAAAAAAAAGCAGAGCAUGAUAGAUUAGAAGAGAAGCAUGAUAGAAUUGAUGAAAAGAGUGCUAAAUUAGAUCAGUAGUGUGCAAGAUAUCAAUAAUUGCAUGAAUAAAUCGACAUUCUUAUGAAUGUUGUGAGAAAACAAUUUCCAACUACCAACCUAAGUGGGCCACCAACUCAAGUAUUAAAUUUACUAACUAUUUAUUUUUUUAAUAUUAGAAAUAACUUAUUAUUAAGUGUAAACAUUUGUUUUACUUUAUUUCGUAAAUUCUUAAGCACGUUAAUGAUCAUAGUGGAAAAAAUCCUUUAUCAAAUUGUAGUGCUCUAACUUUUGUCAGUCAUCAAUUUCAUACUUUUUGAAUUUUUACUUAAUUUAUGUAAUUGAAAAAAAAUUUAAAUUUUAUUGUAUUAAACUAUUUAAUGUACUGAAACAAAUUAUAUAUUUUGAUAUUUAAAUAUUUAUAAUAUUCAGUUUUUGAAUUUCAAUUAAGUUUUAUUUCUUUUAAUCCUUUUUUUAUAUAAUUAAAGUAGUAAAUAUAGAAACAAAUAAACAUUUAAAUUUAGAUAAUUCUUGAAUUUAGAGGCGUUUAUAGUAAAAAAUGCCGCUAACUAUAAGAUUUUUGGCUUUUACAAAAAGCAAUUAAAGAACAAAAAUAGUUGCUAAAUUUAGCAACGCUUGUGUCAAAAUCGCGACUAAAUUUAGUGGUGUUUGUGCCAAAAAAACCACUAAAUAGUUUAACAACAUUUGGAACCAAAACGUCGCUAAACAAUUAAUGAUGUUUGUUUAAAACACCAUUAAAUUUGGAGGCAUUUAUCUAAAAAAUGCCAUUAAGUUGGUGACCUUUGUCAUAGUAAUGCCGUUAAAUUCCUCGAUACAUGUAUAGCUGGUGCUGUUAGCGGUGUUUUUUCUAAAUGUCGUUAAAUGUUUAGCAGUGUUUAUAAACAUCACUAAAAAUAAAAAAAAACAUCGCUAAAAACCUAUUUUUCUAUAGUGUAACAAAGUAACUCAUGUAUAGCUUAUUUCGAGGAGAUAUUUUGAAUGGUUUGAGAAGUGCAAAUUUGCACUAAUUUGCACCUCUCAAACCAUUCAAAAUAUCUCCCUCCUUUUUUAUAACAAAAAGGAUCAAUUCAAAGCAUAUUAACGAAGAACAACAUAUAAUAUCAAUCAUUAUCAUAAGAGCAUGCAUUCAAACACAAGGAUACCAAUAUGUCUAAAUUCAAGCAUUUUAGAAUAAGAAUCACUAUAUGGCACUUAUGAGCAAAAGGAUAGAAAAAUGAUAUGCAUUUCCCAUAAAUCAUGUCAUACUAAAAUGUGCUUGAACUUUAUAACAUCUAUCAUAUAAGCAUAUAUACAAGCAUACUAAGUCAAACUCAUACAAAUUGUUAAGUAACUUAAAUUUCUCAUACAAUAGACCAAUUUAACUUCACAAUUUGCAAGCUUAUUUCAAUAGACCAUAAUUAAAUCAUAAGAGUAAUUUAUGGUACCAUGGUCAUUCAAAAACAUAAAUAAAGCAACAAUUUUAUUCAAAUAAGAACAAAUGUCUCAAAUUCAAUACAUGAUUUUCAUGAGAAAAUAAGUAUUGAAGAAUGAUAUGCACUCAUAAAUUAUAUUUGUUAUAAAAUGUGUUUAGAAUGUGAACUAUCAAUACCAUUUAAGUAAAUUUUCAGGCAUAUAUAUUCAAGCUCAAACCAAAUAUUAAUGAAAUGUUAUCAAAACUGAUAAAUUAUCUUAAUUCAAGCAAAGUUCUAUUAUAAGAUUUCUUUGUUUUUAACAAAAGAAGAAUUGAUCAACUUAAAGAACACACAAUUUUUGCUAGAAUGGUAUAAGAUAUAAUCUAUGCUUAGGAUAUGUACAUUCUAUAUCAAGCAUAAACCCAUAUUUUUGCAUGAUAAGCAUAAUUGAAUAGUGUCGGUAUCUAGCUUUCAAUAAGUAACUAAUCUCAAACAUAUAUAAAAGAUUCUAAACUAUAUUUUGAUAAUUUCAAAUGACAGAAACAAUCUUCCAUAAACAUAUCCUAUCCAAGAACCAUAGCUUAUAUAUAUAUAUAUAAUAAAAUAAAACAUGAGUACUAAUGAGCAAUAAGAUUCUUUUAUCAUGUUAUAUCAAAGAUUAUUAAGCCUAAUUAUACAAAUAUUUUAAACUAUAUUUUGAUAAUUUCAAGUGACAAAAAUGAUCUUCUAUAAACAUAUCCUAUCCAAGAACCAUAGCUCACACACACACACACACACAUAUAUAUAUAUAUAACAUGAGUACUAAUGAGUAAUAAGGUUUCUCCAUCAUGUUAGAACAAAGAUUAUACAAGUAUGAUUUUUCAAACUCAAUGAUCACAUACGCUAUAUCAAAGAAAUCAUAAAAGCAUAAUUGUGUAAAUAUAUUUCAAAUUAUUUUAAUGUAUACAAUGUACUUAAUCCAAACAUAUACAAAUAUUCAAGCAUAUAUUUCAAUCAAAUUCAUAAAACUGUACAAGCAUAUGCAAACACAAUUCAAAUAAAUUCAUAAUAAUCAUAUGCUAUUGUGUUUCAAAUCAUUUAAUAUAUAACAAUUACCCAUUUUAAAAAGAUGCAAACAUUUAAAUAUAGUUUGAUGCAUGCUAUCUCAAUGAUCUUAAUAAACAAACAUGUAUACUAAUUGCAAAAUAUGUGCUCAUAACCUAUUAAUCAAAAUAAUUUAAAGAUUAAGAAAUCAAUAUAGUAAACUCGUAGCCAUGUUCAAAGAUUAAUCUUAAGCUAAUAUUCAUGCAUUAAGAGCUAUAAAUCUAACAAAAAACUAGACAUGAAUAUCAAUCAAGAUGCAUUUAGUCAAUCCAAGCUUUUAAGAAUGUUAAUACAAUUUCUAUUAAGUAGCUUGGUGAUUAAUUUGUACAAAGUGUUCAUAUAUUCUAGCACAAUAUCUCAUUUAUGCACAUAAUAAAAAAAUCUUUACUUUUAACUACAUUGAUAUAAGCAUUGACAACAUAUAUAUAUAUAUAUUAAGAACGUAUCAAAUAAGUUCAAAUCUCAAAAUCACCUAGCUCUGUAUUCUCUCUUUAAAUUUGUGCAUAAAUAGAAUUUUAUCAAAUAAGUACACAACUCACUUGUGUCAAGCAUGUCAAGUAUUUAAUAUCAAGAAUUCAUGUACAAAACCAUGCUUAUGCUAAUGCUCAAAAAUUAAAGAAUGAAUAAUCAAGUAAGCAUUAAUAACAAUUUUGCAAAGUAUGAUAUUAUAAAUAUAAAAAAAUUCAUAUACAAAAUCAUGCUUAAACAUAUGUUCAUAAAAUUAAAAUUGAGAAUAUCAUCAAAAAUAUUUCUACCAACUAUGAAUAUAUAUAUAUAUUUACGAAAUACGCAAAUGCUCCUUAAAUUUAAGUAUAAAUAUAUCUAGUUGUUAACCAUCAAAAUCAAGUUCAACAAGCAUGAGAAUAUAUUUACAUCAAAAUUAUGCGCUCAAGAGCAUAAACAAAUGCCUACUUAACCUAUCUUCAUAUUUUCUCAAGACUAUGCAAUUUAUACCAUUUAUAUCCAUAAAAUCAAUUUUGCACAAUUAAUAUAUUUCAAUUAUAAUCAAAGAACCAAAAUGCAUAUGAUCGUUAAAAAGAAUAGGUAACAAAUAAAUCAUUUGAAAUAGACAUUAGGCUACACAUCUCUAAUUUUGUGUCCAGAAUUCCAUUUUUCAAAAUAACAGUGUAACUCCUUACUCUACUACAUAUAUAAGAGACAUUAUUUAUUUGAUUUUUAGUACUCAAAUUAUUUUGGGUCCUUGAGAGUUAGUAAUCAAGUCUCUUGUUCCUUUUUUUGGAACCUACAUUUACCUAAUUUUAAAUUGAACUUUUCUUCUUAUAGGAAAAAUGCAUAUGGAAUGAUCAUGAAAAUUUUCAAAAACUACAUUUGGUCAUUUUAGCAUGUAAGGGAUUAUUUAAAACAUUUUUUUUUUCAUUUGUUAACUCAUCAAAUUUCUUUUUCAAAUCAAAAUGUUCUUUUUCCAAAAUUUCAUUUAUCUUUUGGCAAGCUUCAAAAUCCAUUUUUAAUUUUUCAUUUUGUUUUUUUGCGUCAUCCUUAGUGCUCAUCAAAAAUUUAUUUCCAACAUUUAAUUUUGAAAUCAUUUUCUUAUGUCUCAAUCUUAAUUACUUAAAUUCCACAAAUAACUCAUUAAAAGCAAUUUGUAAUUCAUCAAAAAAAUUCACAAAAUUGAGUUUAGGAAGUUGAUACCUUGAAUACUUCAUGAGUCAUAAAGCAUGCUUUUUUUGGUUUAAGGAUUGGUGUUUAAUAGAAUCAUCUCUAUUUUCCUUACACUUGUUGAACAUUGGCUUUCACAAAACCUUUCUUUAACUUCCUCUUUCAUUAUUGUUUUUUCAUAUAUUUUUUCCAACUUUUCUCAAAGAUUCUUGGAGGCUAAGCAAUUCGAGACUAAAUUCAAGUUAUGGAAGUCAAGAGCUUCAUAGAUGAAUUUCUUGCCUAUUUCAUCAUCUUCUACCUUUUUCAAAAAAUUUUAAUUAUUUGAGAAAGCUCUAAGUCCUUCUUUAAUCUCAUUCCAUGUUUCAAAAGUGUAAGCCAAGAUAAAUAUGUGCAUUCUUCUCUUCCAUUCCCAAAAUUCAUACUUUAGAAAUCAAUAAGCCUUGUGUUCCUUCUCACCACCUAGGACAAUGUUUAUUUGAGCCAUUUAGAUCACUCUUAGGUUGUUAUACUUACAAAAAUAGAGUAUUAGCUCUAAUACCAAUUGCUAACUCAAAAGAAUGAAUUAACCAAGAUGAGGUGAAUUGGUUUAUUAUGAAUUUUAAUAAAAUAAUUAGCCAAUAUAAAAAUUAAAAAAAAUAUAAAUUUAUAAAUCAAAAUAAGCAAUAUAACAAUAUAUACAAGCACAAGUAAAUAACUUGAAAAUUAAAAGAGAAGAGGUAGAAGAUUAAAUACUAGGAUUUAUAGAGGUUUAACCCUUUCAAUGGCAUUUAUAUCUUUUUCCUUAGCUUCAUUGGCUAAAAGGCCUAAUCCACUAUAUUUUGAAUAUUAUAACUAACCUCUCCAAGGUUGAAAUUAUAAUCACACAAAAACCUAUAAAGGUUUUCCCAAUUUCUCACAAAUUUACUCAAAGGUUACUCUUCCCUUUAAGUCUACUCUCUAAAAUAGAUUCAAGAGUUUUUGCAAAUUAAAUAAUCUUUCUAAGGUUGAGUGUUUGCUAAUUGAAGUAAACGUAAUUUGUAGAAAUAAAGAGUGAAAGAGUUUGGAUACAACAAAUACAAAAAAUAAGCUCAAAAACUCUUGUCUUAAUCUUUGAAUGCUUGAAGGAAAUGAAUAAUAGAUGAAAGAAUGGAAUUAAGCCGUUACAAUUGAAUAAUAUUGAAAAUUUUCAUCUUUCUCUUCCUUCGAAGUACUCGUCUGAAGUUGUUUGGGUAAAAUCAAUUGAUCUUAUGUAGUAAAGGAUCGAUCAGGUUGGCUAAAAUUCAAAAUUCUUUGUAUUAUUAGGAAAACCGAGUGAUCCAUUUUAGGAAAGGAUCGAUCUAUUUUGGCUUUACAAGCCAAACCGAGCUCUCGAUUAAAAAAUGAAUCAAUUGGUUUUGAUUACUAGUUGAUCCAUUCUAAAAACCAAUCGAUUCAUUUUUGCCAAAUUUCUGUUCGAGACCAUUCUGUAUAAAAAAAUCAAUUGAUUGCUUCCUAGAGGCAAUCGAUUGCUUCUAGGGUUUCAACUAAGGGGAUUGAUCUUGUUUAGAGUGGAGUGAUCCCUUCUUUUCAUUUUUGUAUAAACUUAGUUUUAAUGGAGAAUAAAGGUUAUUUUUUGUCUUAAAACGUUUUCUAUUAAAAAACUAUCUUGCAAAAUUGUUCAUUUUUUAGUUCAAAACAAUAUAAACGAAUUUUGCAAUUUGAUUUCCCAAGUAUAAAACAUUGUUUUUAUUUAAUACAAAUAAAUUUAUCAAUUUAAUAGCAAAUACUAAACAAAUUAAAAUAUUUAUCCUUAAUGUUUUAUCAUUUCGAAAUGAAUAUUAAUUCAAGGUUAACAUAAACAGUUUCCUUAUCAUGUUUGACAUUGAAUGGCUUGAAACAAACACCCUGAGCUUGGUAUGAUAAGAUUGCUUAAUAUCUUAAUUUUUGUAUUUUCAAUGUUUUAGACUCAGAUUCUAGGUUAUUUUGCUAAAUAAGAAUCGAAUAUGCAUGUGCUGGUUUUAUUAGAUGUGGAUGAUGCGAUAAUUGGUGAGGACAAUUAUGCUGAAAUUUCUUGCCUAAGGAGUGACCAACGAAAAUUUUGGGUGAGGAUGGAUCCUUUUUGGUUUUGAAGUUGAAAAAUUAGAUCAAGGAUUUUUUUUUUUUCUUAAAGAAAUUAUGCUAGUAGCAGAUUAAAGCAUUUUAAUAUGUAGGAGACAAUGACUACAACCAUGGAGCAAUAUUUGAGGCAAAAAAAAAAGGAAGAAAAGUUGUUGAAAGAUUCAAGGACGUAAUGAUAACUUGUUGGAACCUUGAUCUACUUUAACUGUUACAAGACUUGAUAUUACGUAUUCUAGUGGUGUUAUAUCUCAGUUUAUGCAAUACCUUAGAGUUCCUCAUUUAGAUGCUGCUAAAAGAAUCCUACACUAUGUCAAAGGAUCUAUUGAUUAUGAUCUUAUGUACAAGAAAACGGGAUAAGUUUUCUUGAAUGGAUAUAUUGAUACAGAUUGGGCUGGAAAUAUCAAUGAUUGUCGAUCAACCUUGGGCUAUUCCUUCUAUGUUAGUUCUGUUGCACUUUCAUGGUGUAGUAAGUAGCAAUCAACAGUUGUUUUGUCAAGUACUGAAACAGAAUAUACAAAAACAACCAUGGCUACACAAGAGUGCAUUUCGCUUAAACGUCUAAUGGGCAAUAUUUUUUCUAAAGCUAAUUAUGCAAUGCAGAUUUUUUGUGACAAUGAAGGUGUUAUUAAAUUUGCUUCAAACCUAGUACUUCAUGCAAUGACAAAGCAUAUUCAAGUUCAUCAUCACUUUGCUAGAGAAAAAAUGUUACAUCAAGAGAUAGAGUUAAAAGGUGUUAGAAUAGAUGAAUAAGUGAAGUCAAAAAUUGAAAAAUUUCAAGUUGCACUUGGAGUCAUUGAUCAUAAGCAUGCGCUAAAGGGAAUGUUAAAAAUUAGUACAUGUUACUACAAAAUAUUUUAUUAUUAUUUUAUUUCAAAAAUAAUCCUUCAAACUAAGUCAUGAGCUUUGUAGUGUUUUUAGAACAGUUUUUGCACUUAGUUUAUCUGUUGGUCUGUUAGUUUGUUGAGUACUUUUGGGAGGCGGAGUCCUUUUACAAGUCAAUUAGUUUAAUAACGAUGAGUUUAUCUAUUUCUAAUCUAAGUUGAAGUGUGAUGUACACUUGGUUUAGCAAAAUAAUAAGAAUUCUUUCUUUUAACAUUCCUUCAUCAGUUUUUCCUUUUCCUACAAAAAUUUCCUCUAGUUUGUUACAAACACAAUUACUUAGCUAAUUUUAGAACUAAUUUGGUAGUCAAAUUUUAAUUUAUUUGGCCAACAGAUUUCACUAUCCAAUGUUAAUGAAAUUAAUUAUAUUCGAGUCCUUACCCAGCUGGCCUUUGAACAAAAUGGUUGUUUAAUGCUUAAGGCUGCAUUGGGAUCCUAUUGAAGCUUCAUUUCAAUGGGAAAUAACAACUUUUUUGAACAAUCUUGCCGUAGCACAUUAUUUGGAUAUCAAAUGAUGGUGUGAUCGCGCCAACAUAUUCACGCUGUGGAAGAAAAAAUCCACUAAAGGUAAAAGGAUUCCAUGGGAUUUUUCAAUCCCACUCUAGUCCUUAAAAAAAAAAAAAAAAAAAACCUUCAUUUCUUUUUUUUGGAAUUAUAAGGCACAUGCCUAGCUUUCUUUCCAUUAUUUUCUUUUUUUUUUUUUAUUUUAAACUUUGUUUUAAAUAAAAAUAAAUAUUAUUUUAAAAUAAUAAUGAUUAUUAUUUUUAGAUUAUUAUUAUAAAUUUAUGUAAACAUUUUAUUAUUAGUUUUUUUAAAAAAAUAUUUUAAUAUAUUAUUAUUUAUAUUUAUUUUCAUAUAGUUAUUAACAAAAUUAUUAUUUAACAUAAAAAUAAUGUUAAUAACUUUUAAUUAUUUAUUAAUUUCAAAUUUUUAAAAUAAUUUAAAUUUUUUAUUUUAUAUAAAUUUGAAUUUAUUGUCCUUAAUGGUUAUUUUAUCUUUUUACUAUAAUUCACUUCACCAUCAUCACUAUUUUUAUAUCACUAAUUUUAAUCUCACCGCUCCAAUAAUCAAUCUAAGGGUCCAUUUGGAUGGGGCGAUAAGAUUGAAAACAACAAGAGAAGUGAGAUUAAUUACUAUAGUUAUGAGAUUGGGUAUUAUGAUUGAGAGAUUAAAAUCAAUGGUGGAGAUAUGUGCUUAGAUGUAAAUGUAGAGGUUUGAGAAUGAAAAUGACUAUUAAAGAUAUUAAAUUAAAAUUUGUAUGAAAUAAAAAAAUUAAAAUAUUUAAUAUUUAUAAAAUUAUUAAAUUAUUAAAUUAUUUUUAUAUUAAAUAAUAAUUUUUUGACAUAAUAAAAUUUAUUUAUUAUAUUAAAUCAAAAAAUUAUUUCAUAAAUUUUAAUUAAAAAUAAUAAAAAGACAAAAUUCAAAAGCAUAAAAAAGUUAAGUGUGGUGAGCCACUACGCUCCUUCUCAUAAAUGAAAGAACAGAGAUUGAAUGGUGCCAUAUAAGCAUAAUUAGAUUGCGAUUUUGUUAUCCAAAUAGCAAAGCAUGAUGCAAUUGCAACAAAAAGAGGUUUAAAUUAAUGUUGUUAAUUUUGUUUCAGUAUCAAUCGUAUCGGCUUGUACACUUUAGUUAUUCCAAAACAUAGUCACUUAAAGAUGAUUUUUUAUACCAAACUUGAUACCAGAUAAUAAGGGUUGUUUUUGUUGGUUUCGAUAAAUUUCGAUGGAUUAACUUGUUUUGGCUAGUACAUGAAUGUGAAAUAUGUUUUGUAAUUUUAACUUACCUUAUGUUUUUUUUACUAUUUUUAACCUAAUAAAAAUAAAACUAAUUGACAAAAUAACCAUUGAAAACUAGAAUUUUCUAUAUCCUACUGUAACUUUUUUUUAUUUUAUUUUUUUUAAAUCAAAGUUUAUAAGUAUUUUAAUUUUUUUAAUAAAACAAUUGUACUCUCUCUCUAAAGUUUAACAAUUAUGAAUCCGAGAUUAUUUUUUUUUUGUUACAUCAGGAGGGUAAAACCUAGUACAAGCAAAGGGAAAAGAGGUAGGCUUGGUUUUGAGGCCUUUAACCACUAGGUUAAAGGCUUGAGAACGAUUUUUUUUUUCAUUUCUUUGUUUUUAUCUUAAUAUUUACAUGAAAAAUAAAAAUACUCAUUUAAAUAUCAUAAGAUCAGAUUAAAUGUUUAAAAAUAUCAUGAUAAAUUAAUGAUAUUAUUUCUUAUACUUUUAAACUUAUUUAUUUGAUUUUUGGAGAUAUUGCAUAUUUAAUUUGCAAAUUAUUAGUAGUACUAUUAUAUACAAGUUCAUAUAUAUUUAUAAAUAUAUUUGUACUAAAUCUAAAAAUCUAAAAUAAUAUGCCAAAACAACUAAUACAAACAUAUAUAAUUUUUUAAAAGAAAAUCAAAAUGUUGUCCGAUAUAGUAUUAAUAACAUUGGUUUAAAUACGCUGGACAAUCCCUGAUUCAUUUCAAAAUGGGGCCUAAGUUAAUUUGACCAUGUUCUCUAUAAAUUAGAGAUUAGCAAAGUGUAUAAGUGUUUGCUCUUUGGUUUUUGCUAAGUUGCACUUGCAUCAUACAUGCACUACUACUUUUUUUACUUAAACCUUUAUAUCCUAAAUAAACUUCUUUUAAAUAUCACUAUCAGAAAUAUGACUUUUACCAACAGAAUUACCGAUUAAAAAAUUUCGUUACUAUUAAGCAAGUUGGUAAUACUUUUCCGUCGGUAAUUACCGACAAAAUUUAUUGACAUAAUUUUUCCUUCUGAAAAAAUUUCAUCGAUAAAAUUAAAAAAUUCUAUCUAUAAUCCAUUGCUAAAAAGUCAGUUUUAUCAAUCAUAAAAUCUGUUGGUAAUUCGUUGGUAAUUGACCAAAAUUGGUCACUAAAUAAUGAUUUUUUGUUGGUAAUUCGUCGGUAAAAUUAUAAUUUUAUCUAUAAUUUGAUUAAUUUCAUUUAUAAUUAUUUAAGAAACCUAUAAAUUAAAUUUAAAACAUAUGCAAUUAUUUAAAAAGCUUAUUAUUUCUAUUAUUAUUAAUAAAAAUAAAAAAUUCACAUAUCAAAAAGCAGAUUCAUGAAUUAAUACAUCUUCAUUAUGCAUUAAUGCUCGAUAAAUUCAACAAAUCUCCAUUUGUCGCUUAUUAAUUCAAAAAAUUCAAGGAUAAACAUUGAAACUAGCUAAAGACAAUAUUAAAAGAGUGAUAUGAAUUCCCCAUCCUAGAGAAAGAUCACCUCAUUUCCUAUGUGUGAUCAUAAAAGUCCCAAGAAAGUACCAUUCUCUUUCUGCACAUUCCACCUCUCAACUUGUAGCAAUUUGAGUAACAUCCAAAAUAUUAAAAUUGGGAACACGAGUCUAUUGAUCAGUAGGAAAAAGUAUAUAUGGAAAAGUCUAUAAUUCUCAACAUAAAACAAUAUAGAACAUUUGGUGUUAAUAAAAUAAAAACACCUAUAAUUUACUUAUGCCCUUAAUGCCAGAGGGUAAUUUAUUUCUUAUUUACAAUUAUUUGUUAUGCAUUACAUAAAACCAUAAAUUAUGUGACAAGCUUUUUGAAUGAUGCCAUGACAUAUUUAAAGAAUGCUUAUGCUUGUGAACAAUAGAACUUGGUACUAGAAGCCAAAAAAUAAGCACAUGAUAAUAAAACUUACAUAAAAUAUACUUAUAUACAGCAUAAAUUCCAUUUCAAUAAGACAAACUCUCGUUUACUUAUGAUGAUAUAAAAAACUAGAUAUACUUAACCAUUCACCAAGACAAAAGAUAGAUCGUAUCUAGCAAAUCUCUGAAAUUCAUUAAACUUUUCACCCUUUGUUUGAAUAAGGCAAAUUUGUGGCAGCCAACAAGCUUCCAUGAAAAACAGACAAGAAAACUUAUUUUAGUUUCAAAAUGCCACAAUCAGGGUAUCUGAAAAUUCUCAUGGAAAAAUCAAAGUAUCAUCUGAUUUAUAGUUCACAAACAUGGCACAACCUCUAAAGAUGUUUAUAAAAAGUCUUAACCCAAGCCUUAAACUUGGUAUGUGUCCAAUGAUCAGAGCUUAGUUGGAAGCUUAAGUAGGCUUUAUCAUUUGUUUUAGAAUAAUACUUUAGGUUAAUUUGUGUGAAAAUUAUAGGGCCUUAUCUCAUUUUGAUUUCUAGCUUUUUAAGUAGGAAGGACAUUUUUUAAAUUGGUAUCAACAUUUGAAUUCAAGUUCAUUAGUUUGUUAAAUGGUUAGCUUCCUAAUUAGAGUUUCAAGUAUCUAUUAAAGUACUAAUUGCAUUAGUAGUGCUAGGAUUUUAUUUGUAAUCUUUUUAUUGAAAGUUAGGCUUACUGUGAGAAAAUUUUUAGCAUUAUUUUUCUAGUGAUUGUUUGAUAAAAUCAACCUCUGGUGUGAUUCUAAAGGCCAAAGCUUAGAUGAUUUUCUUCUUAUUAUUUUGCUAUGUUGUUUACAUUUACAACCAGCCAUAGAUUAACCUCUUUAAACCUAAGUAUUUUCAUUUAUCAAACUUUAAAACUAUAAAGUUCCCCACUAAACUAUUAAUUAAUGUCCAUAGACAUGGUUCACAAUACUAGAAUGGACUGAGAACAAGAAAGCAUCCCAACAUCACAACUUUCCUAAAUCAUAGAUGAUCUAAGAAAUACAAGUAACUUUAUUAAGUUAUUAAAAGAGGACAAGCUAAUUAUUUGAUUUUUCUUAUAUACAUUCAAGGUUAAAAAUCAAAAUAGAAAAAAAAAAAAACCAAGAAAUAUAUUAAAAUUAAAACACUCUACUCUUAAACUUGACUUUUGCUUUUACACCCUAAUUGCCCUUUAGAUAAUACUUUAAAUGGCAUAAGUCCACUAUCUUACUCUGAUAUUCUUCAACUACUUCAGAAUUUAUGAUCCUAAUAGCAUAAUGCUUAGUAUAGUAUAGCUUUUGAUGUUAUCAUAUGUUGCUCUAUAUAUAUGCAAGAAUAUAAUCUCUCAAGUGUCUUUAUUAGUUAGCUUGCAACACAUCAAUUCAUAAUUACUAUAAAGUGAACAAUAUGCUUUGACCUUGAUAACAAGAUACCCUUACCCUGAACCUUAUCAUUCAUAGAAUAAAGGCAAAAAAGGUUUGCAAAUACAAGCUUUCAUAUAAUAUAAAUAUUGAAUAUUAAAGUUUCCUUUCAAAUUAAGGUACUAAAUUCACAUAUAACAUGAAUAAGACUUCUGUUUUUCACUAAAGUAGUAAACUUUCAGAUUCUUCACAUCAAAUGACUCCCAAAGUUGAUAGUAUUCCCCUUUUUAUUCAAGCAUUUGCAAGCAAUGAAAAAUUCACGAGUAAAACCUAGAAAUUUAAUAAAAUAGAGUAUUUUUAUUAAUGAAUGGAAGGAAAGAUUCAAUUCCUUAGUAUAUAUGCAUUUAUUGUUAAGUUUAAUGGUUAUAUAAAGUAAUUUUUAUUUAAUUAUUAAUUAAUGCUUAUAAUUAUUUAAUGAAAAUAUUAACCCAAUUAGUACUUUGAAGCAUUUGACUUUGGAAAAUUAAACCAAGUAGACCAUUUCUAUGUCAUCAUUCAGCCAUAAUUUCUUUCUAUCUUCUUGUCCAUAUUUACAUAGACAUUACUUCAAGAAAACUUAGACGAUUGCAUAAUUAAGCUUCUACUAGAUACUAUUUCGAGAAAGCUUAGAAAAUUGCGUAAUUAAGCUUUCGCUUCAAAUCAAGUUCUACCAUUUAAGAAAUAUCUUGCAAAAAGCUUCUGUUGUCAGUAAAUUUUUUUUUCAAUUGAAUGCCCUAACUAUACCUUAUUUGUAUCAAAAUCAAUAAGCCAAGCAAUAAAACUAUAACUUGAUAGAGAAGAUAAGUUCCAAACAAGCUAAAGUGCCGGCGGUCAUGAGUAGUUGCUAGCGACGAUCAUGGGGUCACGGGUAGUCACGAGUUGAAGGGUUCAUGGGCUUACAGCCUCAUAGGCUCAAGGGCUUAAAGGGUCAUGGCCUCAUGGGCUCAAAGGCGACGAGGAGAGGGCGGUAAGGCGUGGGCCAGCAGCAUGGAUCCAAAAAAGGAGAGGAGAGCAGAGAGGAGAGGAAAAGGGGGAAAGAGAGAGAAAGAAAGUUAGGGAUUGAAAUCGAGGAAGAAAAGAAAUGAGAAAGGGAAUUUUCAAAUUUAAAUGACCUUUAUCGAUGAAUUUAAAUGAUCUUUAUAAACAAAAAAUCCCUUAAUAAUUCAAUUUUUUUUUAAUUUUUAACAACAGAUUACUGAUAAAAUUCGUCGAUAAUUCAAACUUUUAGCGACGAAUUAUAUUCGUAAUCCGUCGCUAAUAAAAAAUUUCCCUUCCUUUUUAAUUCAAAAAAUAUGUUAAUUUUUUUUAAAAAUCAAAAUUUUUUUGUAGAUGGAAAAAAUUUGUUAAUAAGUCAUCGGUAUAAGUUUUAGCAAUGGAUUACCGGCAGAUUAUUUCUAUUGGUAAAAAAUGUGCCAAUUGCCUAUUUUUCCCAUGGCAGAUUCACUUACAGAAUAUCGAUGGAUUUUUUUGUCAGUAGUUCAUCAAUAAACCGUCAGUGAAGAAUUUUUAAUUUUUUUUCCAUUACUAAAUUGUUGGAAAUUCUUCGAUAAUUACCGAUGAAAAAAGUCCAUCAGUAUUGCUCUUAUUUCUGGUAGUGUAUAUAGAAAAUCCACACUACUCCCAAAUGCGACAUGCAUCUGUAUAUAUAUAUAUAUAGUACUCUAAACUAGUUUCGUAGAGCACUCAUGUGGUCUAUUGGGGGUCUUUUUAGUUUUUCAUAUACAGCAAUCCACCUAUAUAUAAUUAAGUGAAAUACCGGCAGGCACUCGAGAAGAGACUACAUUUGUUUGGAGAUCAGUAGAAUCCUUAAAGUUAAUUAAUACUGGUUUUUUUCAUUAGUCUUAAAUCUGAAAUUUCUCAACCAACCUUUUUAAGGAAAGAAAAAAAAAACAAAAACCUGCCAAAUGCCAAUUGCCUUCUUACUUUAAUUGGUCGAUCACUUUUGAUGACCUGCUGGUGGUGGUGAUCAACAGCACCUUUGAUAGAGUGAUCGAUGUUCAGGUCCUCCCACAUUCUAUGGCCAUAGGGUGGUGACAGGUGAGCCUGCACAUUUUUUACAUUAACUGCUUACCUUUUGACCUCGUUCAUCUUUACUUUUCGAAGACUACAUAUAUAAUUAAAUUAUAAUAGGAAAACAUGCUCACCUCCACGCACAUGAAACGGUGUCCACUUUAGCUGGAGGGCACUUUGUUUUUGAACGUUUAUGUAUGUACUAUAAAAGAUCAACGAUAGUCUUUUCUUAAUGUGAUCAAUUGGAUUGGUCUACAUGUCUCGUUUGGUUGAUUUGGUUGGACUUGGGAGCACGCACCUGCAAUGCGGAGUAGGGUAUAAGCUAGAUCCUUUUGAGUUAGGGAGGGUCAACUCCAGCGGAGAACUCAGUAAAAAGAGGCAGGGUCCCUCCACGACUGAAAACGAUGGGUCUGCAGUCCUCCGUCUAGUGUUUCGUGGAUUGACUUCCACCCUUGCCAAAGUCUUCGCUCUACCCUACCACAUUAAAAGAUAUAAAAUGAAAACUAUUUGGCUUUCCUAGCUGUUUCAGCCAAAUGCAAGCCUUUUUCUCAAUAUAUAGCUUCCUAUGAGCUAUAUAGAAGUGUAACUUAUAUUUUCAUUCCAGUACGUCCCAUGUGCCUUGCAAUAGAUCAUAUAAUCAUAUUUGAAAAACACUUCAGCUUUACUUUGUAGGAAGAGUGAAAAAGGAUCAAGAUGAAAAUUUUGGUAAUAUAACAAUUAAGCUAUAAAAUAUAAAAGUAAUUAUGAAUUAAUAUUAGAUCAAUAAAAUAGUUAUUAUUACUUUUUUUUUUAUUUUUCUUACCAAGCAAAACAUUCAAACUGCAACACAAACAAAACAUAUGUAUUGAUAUAUAGUAGUAUUUCAUAUACCCUCAAUUAAAAAUGUAACUGUAUCAUAUAGAUAUAAGUGGCAUAUUUUAAAGUACUUUUGCGUUAAAAGAUGUACUGCCAUGCGAAAGUAACAAUAUAAUGCUUUGAUGCGUAUUCUUUUUUGAUAUUACCAAUUCAAUUCUUCAUAAUAAAUAAUUAUUGGUUGGAGUCGGCGGAAAGUUUUUAUCUGUUGCUGUCAAGAAAGGACUCUCACCCACCAUUGAUGAUUGAUUAUUAUAGAGGACUCCUUGUAGAAAAUAUAUAAAUGCAGCAUCCCAAUUCCCAUGCGAUGCCACCAACUUGUUAAGGAUGGAUGGAGGAGAUUUAAAGACUUGGUUUUUAACACUUUUCAAAUAUUUGAACACUAAUUAUAUGCUACUACCAUGUGUUACCACGUGUUUUCGCAGCUGACAGAUGAAUCUUAUGUUAAGUGCAUGAUCAUUGUCCAAUCAAAAACAGCUUUGUAAUCUAAUCACUUGUGCCAAGUGGCUUCCACUAUCCUUUUCUCUUUCCAACAGGACAUGAGUAUGUCACGGGCUUUUUUGUCCAACGUGGCUACAGACUGUUGGGAGCGUAACGGCGUCCUAAGGCAGACGCACUGAUGUUAAUGACGGCGUUAGCUACUCCGUCUGCACAGCGAAGCACAUCACGGUCACAAUAUCCAACGUGUAGGGUCUUGUGUGGGUCCCAGGCCGGAAUACCACAUGUAAAGACAACGUCGAUUUGGCCAAGAACGAGACAAAAGUGUGUGAGACGCCGAAAAGAACGUGAUCUUCACACGCGUGGAAAAAGGUGACCCUUCUUCGAAGUCCACACUGUCCACUGCCAUAUUAGAUUCCAUUUAUUUUAUAAAAAAUAUUUUCAAAAAAUAUUUUUAUUUUUAAAUGUUUGUUCGAUAGAAAAUGAAUUGAUUGAAAGAAAAUAAUGUUUUGGCCAAUGAAAAUGAGAAAAUUUUUUAAAAAAUUAUCUUUUUCUUUUGAAAAAGUAAGAUAAUUUAAAAAAAUUAUUUAUAAGUAAAAUUAUUUAUCAAUGUAUUUGAAUACAAUUUUAUUUAAGUCAAACUUUGUAUAUAAUUUUUUUAAACUCAAAUUUAAUUUAAUCUUAUCUAAAAUAUUAUUAUAUUAAUAAAUAAUUUUUUAUUUAAUUUUACUUAAAAAAAUAAAAUAUUGAUAUUAAAAGUCUUUAAUAUUUUAAUUUUAAAUGAUUUUAUAAUUUUACUCAAGUAAGACUUUAAAUAUGAUUUGAUUCGAUUUAAAAUAUUAUUAUAUUAAUAAAAUAAAUUACUUAAAUUUAAAUAAAAAAUUAAAAUAUUAACAUUAAAAGUCUUUUGAUAUUUUAAUUUUAAAUAUUUUAAUUUUGUAUUUUAUUAAAUAUAAAUAUUUUAAUAUUUUAAUAAUAAAUAGUAUUAUAUUAUUAUUUUAAUAAUAAAUAAUAACAUAUAUAAUAAUAUUUUUAUUAUUUUAAUAAUUAAUGCUAAAUAAUAAAAUAAUAUUUUUUUAAUAUGAAUAUUUUUAAUAAUUUCUUAUUAUUUUUAGUUUAAAAUAAAUAAUUUUUAUUUUUAUUUAUUAAGGUAUUUAUAUUACUAUUUUAAUAAUAAAUACAGAUAAAAAUAUUUUUGUUAUGAUUUAAUAAUAGAUACUCUCAAUAUAAAAUAUAAAUAUUUUAAUAACAAAUAUUACUAUUUUAGUAUUAAUAAAAAUAAUAUUUUAACAAUAAUAAUAUGAUUUUAAAUAUUUUAAAAUAUUAAUAUGAAGAAUAAUAAAUAGUUUUAUUUUAAGUAUUUUUUAUAUUAAUAUAAUAUUUAAUAUUAAAUAUUAUUAUUAAAAUAUAAUUAUUUUUUAAUAUUAAUAAUGUUAAUAAUAAAUAAUUUCAAUAUAUUUAAAUAAUAAAUAUAUUUUAAUAUUUUAAUAAUUAUAUUAAUAUUAUUUUUAAAAAAACAGACUUUCUAAAAAAUAAUCAAACAAUAAAACAUAUUUUUUAUUAACUUAUUUAAAUAACAAAAAAUGUAAAUAUUUUUAAAAAAAAUUAAAAAAAAAUCAAUUUCUACAAAAUAAAGGAACCUUAUUAUUAACAAUAGUAACGAGUAAUGAGCAAUGAAUUGAUUCACUUUCCAUUAAUUCACUUUAAUUAAUUAAUUAAUUAAUCAAACAAACCAUUUCGAUUUACCAAUGAAUCCUCCUUCCCGAUUCAUUUUAAAAUGACAAAACUGCCACUAAUGCUGUCUAAAAACAUAAAAUACCAUUCCUAUAGUAGUUUUUUUUCUUAUUAAUUAUUAUUAUGAAAUUCCUAGUAGUUUUAGGAGUAAUAAAUUAAGAGGAAGCAUAUACCCACACACACACACACACAUAUAUAUAUAUAUAUAUUAUAUUAUAUAUAGGAGAAUAGCUAAACUAAAACAACUUUCCCUUCUACAAACUGCUAAUAUAAUUAGUAGAAUAACAAAAACACAUACAAUUAAAGUGAAAACUUGCUAGUUGCAGUCAACAUGUCAAGUAUUUUUCUUUUUACCCUAAAGUUCUCAUGAUUUUGUUUGUAACAAACAUAUUGCAAAUAUAAAGUUAAAUCUUUGCAUUUAUAUUAUAACGUAUCUUUAUAGAUUUUCACCGUAAAAAGAAUUAGAAUUAUACAAUCUCUUCUUGUUGUUACUAAGAUGUGUCCGUCAAACCUAAUGCUUUUGACAAAACCAAGGUCAAUCCGAACUCAAAAUUAGACAUAAAAAAAAAAAAAAAAAAAGGAAUUUCUCAAUGCCCAAAAAGGGUAUUAUCGUCAACGAAAUCCAGUCAAUGGUUAAUUCAUCACAUGAGUCAGAACAGUAAACAGAAAACAGACAAAAUCAAAAUGAAGACCCAACCAAGAACCAGCAAUCUCUCCUCUCUUAUCUUGGCACAAAGAAAUUAAGAAAAGAAAAAGGCUUAGAUAAUUGCAUUAGAGUUAAUCGUGAUAAUGAAAUUUUUUAAUUUUAUAAGUGAAAUUAAUAAAAUAAUAUAUAUUUUUUAGGUAAUGUUUGAUAUUUUUUAUAAAAUUAUUAUUGUAAUGUAAUUAUUAAAUUGAUUUUAUUAUCAAAUUGAUUUUAAACUCAUGAUUCAAAAUCAUUUUAUUUGAUUAAUAAUGAUUAAUUAUUAGAAAUUAAGUAUCACUAUAUUUGAUAUUAUUAAAAAUAUAAUAUUAUUUUAUUUAAAAGUAUGAAAAUAAUCAUAAAUAUUGUAAUAGUUACACAAAUUAAUAAUUUAUUAAUAUUUAAAGAUAAUAAUUUAUAAAAUAAUAGUAAUAUUUAAUUUAUAAUAAAAUAUAAUUAAAUUAAUAACUAUAUUUAUUGAUAAACAAAUUGAUUUUUAUAAUGUAAAUUAUCUAAAAUAUAUUUGAAUUAGAAAAUAAAAUCAAUCUAUAAAUUCAUUAUAAAAGGAAAAUAAAAAAUUUAUCCUGCAUAUAAAAUAUUAAAAAAGUAAAAUAAUACCAAAUUAUUUUGAAUUUGUUAUAAUGAUUAUUAGCUUAAAAAUAUAAAAAUUUAUAAUAUAAAAUAAUUAUAAUUUUAAGAUGCAAUAAAAUUUUAAUUUAUAUAUUAAAUGGUUAAAAUCGAUUCUUGUUAAUUUUACAUAUUAUUUUAUUUCGGUGAUAAAAGUUUCUCACAUUUUUGUAUGAAAAUUAAAUCAUUUUUCAAGGUAACAAUAUGAUUAUUCUAAAUGAUUUAAGACCACCUCAUGUAGAAUCAUUGAAUGCUUAUCAAUCAUAAUGAUUUAAUCACUAUGUAUAAAUUAUCAUAAUUUUUAGAAUAAUUAGUUUUAAACUCGUGUAAUGCACAAAAAUAUAUUCAUAUAUAAAUAAAUCUUAUAUAAAUAUAAAUUUUUUAAAAUGAUAAUAUAAGUUAUGAAGCUUAUAAGCAACUCAUAACUUAUAUAAUCAUUUUUAUUUAAAUUUAUAUAUUUCAAUAUAAUAAAGUAAAUUAAUUAUUUAUUGAAUAUAUUUAUGCAAUUAUCAUCAAUUAUAAAGAAAACUCAAACUAUAAUUUCGUAAAUCCAAAUAAUUUCUAAACAAAAAACAAUAAUAUUUUCAAUUUAAAGAAAUUAAAAUUUUAUCCUUAAUAUCAAUCUCGCAUACAAACUUUUUUCAUGGGAAGAUUCUUCCAUAAAUUGUUGUUGAAACAAAGAUGCAACAAUUGAUUCUCUAAUAUUUCUUGCUAUCUUUGAAGUAUGUGUCAUUUUACUUGAUAAACCAAUAAAUUUCACAGAUAAAGGUGAAGAGAUAAAUAAAAUAGUAAUCUAUAAUUUGACAAUAGUUAAGUUAUAAUAUAAAACUAUAUAACUUUAUAACAAACAUAAUCAUUGUAAUAAUCUUAUACAUACCUCUUCCAAUAAUUUUUUACAUUCAAGCUUAUGAUCAAAAUUAUACACUUUAUUCACUGUAAGUUUGAUACUACUUGUUUCAAGAUUAUACUUGAUUGUCCUUAUCUUGAACAUACACAUUUUACCUAUGAAGUCUUCAAAUAUCUCUUAGAUUUUAUAAUCUCCAUUUUCUUAAAUUAUAAGUAUAAAUAUAUCAUUCAAUUAAUUUAAAUAUUAAAUAAUAUUAAAAUAAUUUUUAACUCAAUAUCUUAACAGAUAUUUCAUAAAGAUCGUUAAUAUCUCUAUUAAUUAAAUCAUUAGCUUCUAUAUUGAACAGUAUAAACAUCGCCCUUUCAGAAUUAUUAUUUACUUCAAUAUUCAACUUAUACCUAUAAAAAUGGAAAAUUCUACAAUUAUAAAUAUAAUAUAAUAAUUUAAAAUAUUUUUAUUAUCAUCAUGGAAUAAUAAUUUUUUUUAUCUAUCAAAUAUAAAAAAUAUAAAUAUUAAUUACCUUGGAGUUAGAUUAGGGUACACCCACAUGACAUAUAGUACUAAUAAAAAAUGGUAUCAACUUUCAUGGUAGUGAGUCUACUGGUAAAAGACUUUCCCUAUAUAUAUCCAAUUAUCUUUAAAUCAAUCAUCAACAAAAAAAAUUAAAAAAAUCUAAUUUCAUAGUUAAAGAAAUAUAAAAAUAUAAAUAUAAAAAGAGAAUAACUUUUCAGCAGUACAGACCAAAAAACGAUGCGAAAUGAAACUCAAAGAGAAAAUUGAAAUAUAGUUGAGUAGUGAUCAAAAGAUAUAAAAUUAGUGAAAAGUGAUUAAAGAUGCAUUAUGCUUAACCUAGAGCUGCUUAUACAAAAUAUGUGUUGUAGGUUAAUUAAUAAGAUAAUUUUAAAUUAUAAAAGUUAAUAUUGAAAUAAUGAAAAUUGUAAAUGAAUAAUGGUAAGUUGAUUGAUAUUGAAAUAUUUUAUUAUGCCAUUAACAUUUACAUAUCCCUUAAUUUAGAACACUAAAACAAAUUAAAUUUUUUGUAUUUAAUAAUGACACUAAAACAUAUUAAAUUUUAAUUAAAUCAAUGUGCAUUAAUAUAUAGAUUUUAAAAUUAUAAAACGUUACUAAUGAAAUCAAAUGAAAUUCAUGUGCAUUAAUAUUUUAUCAAAUGUGCAUUAAUAUUUUACCAACUGAAAUCAUAUUUAAUGAAAUAUAAAUCUAUCAAUCAAAUAUAAAUUAAUAAAAUAUUUUAUCCCAUUAAUUUAGUUACGAAGAAUUAAUUUAAUGUAUUUGCUUUCUAUAUUUACACAUGAAAUACAUCAAUUACUUAAAUGGAUACUAUAUUUAAUCAAAUAUAAAUAUAUCAAAUAAUUGAUUAGAGAAGUAAUUAUUUUAUAAUUAUAAUUGUAGUAUUUAUUAAAUUAUUAAUUAUAUAUUGAUUGAUUUAAUUUGUCAAAUUAAGAAAAUUUUAAAAUUUUAAUACUUUUAAUAUGAAUUGAAUUGAGAAUGAUUUAAAAUUAAUAGUAAAAACAUAAAUAUAGUUAAUUAAUAAGAUAACUUUAAAUUAUGAAAAUUAAUAUUGAAAUAAUAAAAAUUAUGAGUGAAUAAUGGUUUAACAAUGAUAAAUUGAUUGAUAUUGAAAUAUUUUAUUCUGCCAUUAACAUUUACAAAUCCCUUAAUUUAGAACAAUAAAACAAAUUAAAUUUGUUAUAUUUAAUAAUGGUAAUAAAACAAAUUAAAUUUUAAUUAAAUCAAUGUGUAUUAAUAUCAAAUAAUAAAAUUAUAAAACGUUAUAAAUAAAAACAAAUAAAAUCAACGUGCAUUAAUAUUUUAUUGAAUGAAAUCAUAUUUAAUGAAAAAUAAAUGUAUCAAUCAAAUAUAAAUUAAUAAAAAUAUUUUAUGUCAUUAAUUUAAUUAUGAAAAAUUAAUUUGAUAUAUUUGCUUUAUAUAUUUACUCAUGAAAUGCAUCAUGAAAUACAUUAAUUACUCAAAUGGAUACAAUAUCUAAUCAAAUAUAAAUGUAUUAAAUAAUUGAUUAGAGAAUUAACUAUUUUAUAAUUGUAAUUGUAAUAUUUAUUAAUUUAUUAAUUAUAUAUUGAUUAAUUUAAUUUAUCAAAUUAAAAUUUUUUUAAAAAUUUAAUACUUUUAAUAUGAAUUGAAUUGAAAGUGAUUUAAAGUUAAUAAUAAAAAUAAAAAUAUAAUUAAUUUAAUUUUUGAAUUAUUUUUAAAUUAAAAGUAUAUUAAAUAAAAUAAAAUUCAUUUAUUAAAUGUCACAUAACGAUUUUUAAGACCGGUCACAAGUUAACAUUUUAAGUCGUCCACAUAAAAUUUUUUUUUUUAUUUUUAUCAAAAGUUUUAAUUCUUAUAUAUUUAUAUAAGAUAUAACAUUACCUUGUAACAAACACUAUCUUAAAAUGUAUUUUUAAAAAAUUAAAAAACUAAUUAAAAAACAAAUGAAACUUGUGUGUCACAUUAAUUCUACUUAUAAAAUUAAAAAAUUUUAAUGACAUUAUAUCAAAUAAUUUCCCCGUUUCAUUAUCCCCAAAUCCUGAUCUCAUUUUUGGUAAAAAAAAAAAAAAAAUUAUCGUUACCUACCAAACAAAAGCAAGGCCAUUUCUGUCAUUGCAUAUGUAAUCUCUCUCUCCCAAGUCCCAAGGCCAGACUUCCAUCACAAAGCAGGAGCAGUGCAUUGUGCCUUAUAUAAACCACCUGUUUAUCAUCAAUUUUUUCAACAUAAUACCUAACUUUAGAGCUUGAGACUUAGACUUCACUUCUCUUCUAAUCUUGUUAAACUACAGAUAAGAGUAUACUCAACAACUCUACUUACCACUGUGUCUCUCUUUAAUCUUUCCUGCUUCAAUGGCCAGCAAGACCCUCACAGAUCCAGAGAAACCAAAUGCGGCUGCCACCGAGGAUGAAGAGAGGACGCCGGUGGAGGAGGUGGCGUUGGUCGUUCCCGAAACAGAUGACCCUACUCUGCCAGUCAUGACCUUUCGUGCUUGGUUUCUUGGUUUGACAUCAUGCGCGCUGCUUAUCUUUCUUAACACUUUCUUCACCUACCGUACGCAACCACUCACCAUCUCUGCAAUCCUCAUGCAAAUCUCUGUCUUGCCCGUUGGCAAGUUCAUGGCUAGGACUCUGCCAACCACGGAGUACAGUCUUCUUGGAUGGCGCUUUAGCUUGAAUCCUGGGCCCUUCAACAUGAAGGAGCAUGUCAUUAUCACCAUCUUUGCCAAUUGUGGGGUGUCUUUUGGUGGAGGUGAUGCUUAUUCCAUUGGUGCCAUUACUGUCAUGAAGGCUUAUUAUAAACAGAGCUUGAAUUUUCUCUGCGGCCUCCUUAUUGUCUUGACUACUCAGGUUUUUCAUUGACACUCCUUUUGCUACUACUUUUUUUAGUUUGACCCUUCCUUAUUAAUAUUGAAUCUCGGGUCUUCUCGCUUUCUUUUUAAGUUAUUUUAUUGUUCUUAUGGUUUUAAAAACUGCAGCACAUAGCAAGAACGAUAUUUUAAAUUAGUUUUAUUAACUGAAUCUUUGACUGAUGACAGUGAUAAGAUUAUCUGAAACUUGCAUCGAGAACUGAAAUUAAUACUACUACUACUACUACUACAAUUUUGGAGAAGAUAUAUAUAUAUAUAUAUAUAUAUGUAUAUAUGUAUACGGCUCAUUGCACAUUUCAGUCGAAUUGUAAGUGUUCCCUUUUGGAAUUUGGGGGGGGGGGGGGUGAAUUCAGUUUUUCCCCUCUCAAUUUAUACUUCUCAUGGGGCAGAGCAGAUAGAGAAAGUGCUAAUUGCCGGGCAUCUGAAUUGCUUAAGAUUUCUGGACCGUGUCUCACAAUCAAAUGACCAUCUAUCUGGCAGUUUCAAGUUUCAACUACUAUAAAUUUAGUGUAUUUGGUUCAUCUAAUAGUAAUAUUCUUGAUCAUGAUAUGCAGAUUUUGGGGUAUGGAUGGGCUGGUAUGCUUCGGAGGUACCUGGUUGAUCCUGCAGAAAUGUGGUGGCCUUCAAACCUGGCUCAGGUUUCUUUGUUUCGGUCCGUCUUUUACUCCAUUACCUUCUUUUACCUUUCGUUAUCAUGAUUUUCUAAUUGGUCGGUAGGAAAUUUCUUAGAAUGCAAAAAGAAAAAGUUAUACGUUUAGAAUCUUAGACUUUUCGUUCACUGGGUCCCAAGAUAACAGAAACCUCUCCUUUUUUCAGUGCACAAGCAAAAUUAUGUCAAUUACUUGAGUUAGUCUAGGAAGAUUUAACUACAUAAUGGAUAGACGUUGAUUUUUGUUCUUUCCAUACGGAUCUUCUUAGCCCCAAAUGGAUGGUAUUAUUUAUUGGUGACAACUGGUUUAUUCUUUUAUAAGUUUGAAUUCUACUGCUGCUCAAACAUUCUAUUUAGAAGAUAAACAAAAUGCUCUUGAAAUAUGAUAUCAAAUGCAUAAAUAAACAGCGGAAGCAUCCGAGACUUUGAAUUUGGUUAAAUGAAUAAGCUGAUAUGUACGAGCAGCAAUCAAUGACAAGAAUGCAACUGUGCCAUUAUCCCCCUUAUUUUUUUAAUGGAAAAAGGUUUCUUAUAUAUAUAUCACAUAACAAUAUGCAUGUUCACUGGAGGAUUAUCAUGAUAUUCUAUCCGAGGACAUUAGGCAUAAAUCAUACAAGAAGAGUAUAUAGGUAUUGACAACUGGAUGCUACAGAAUUCACCCAUUUUGGUUGCAUUAUGAUUAGGAUUUUGCGUUUGAUUAUAUUCUGGCGAUCAUGGAUAAAGGUAGCCUUUGUGAGAAAGAGUUCAUUAAGAAUAUGUUAUACCUAGUUUUAUUUUUAUUUCCAUCAAACUAAAUUUUAGCAUCUCAAUCAAUAUGUAGUUUUUGAUUCUUAACUUUUUUGUUGCAGAGCACUCCAUGAAAAGGACCCGAAAAUGAAAGGAUUGACUCGAAUGCAAUUUUUUCUUGCUGCACUGGUGGCAAGCUUCGCUUAUUAUGCUCUGCCAGGCUAUUUAUUCCCAAUCUUAACAUUCUUCUCAUGGGUUUGUUGGGUGUGGCCCCAUGGUAUCACAGCUCAGCAAAUCGGGUCUGGAUACCAUGGACUUGGCAUUGGUGCCUUCACCCUUGAUUGGGCUGGGAUCUCAGCUUAUCAUGGCAGUCCACUGGUUACGCCCUGGUCCUCAAUUCUCAACGUGGGGAUAGGCUUUGUCAUGUUUAUCUACAUCAUUGUCCCUGUGUGUUACUGGAAGUUUAACACUUUCGACGCUCAAAGAUUCCCAAUAUUCUCUAAUCAGCUGUUUACUUCCAGUGGGCAUAAAUAUGAUACAACUAAGAUCUUGACACCGCAGUAUGAUCUAAAUGUUUCUGCUUAUAACAGUUAUAGCAAACUCUAUCUUAGCCCUCUUUUUGCCUUAUCUAUUGGAUCGGGAUUCGCAAGAUUCACAGCAACCCUCACUCAUGUGGCAUUGUUUCAUGGCAGGUACACUUUGUGCUGUUUUAAGACUUUUGAGUAAUGUCAUCAGUGUUCGUUUUGAAUGAUGCUUCAGCUUUCUUAACUUUAGUAUGUAAUUUACUUAUUCUUGUAAUUGUUUGCUUUAACCUUUUGGAAGAAUUUAGAGAUUAAACAGAGUCCUCGAUUGUGUAUGCUUUUGUCAUAAAAAAUAAUGCAUUCAGGUCAAAUAAAUAUUCUCGGUUUCUUUUGUCUAGUGAUAUUCUGAAGCAGAGCAGAUCAGCAAUGAAGAAUGUGAAGUUGGACAUCCAUGCAAGGCUGAUGAAAAGAUACAAACAAGUGCCUCAAUGGUGGUUUUACAUUUUAUUGAUCGGAAGUAUUGCUCUGUCACUCCUGAUGUCUUUUGUGUGGAAAGAGGACGUACAGCUGCCAUGGUGGGGUAUACUCUUUGCCUUUGGUUUGGCUUGGAUUGUCACCCUUCCUAUUGGAGUCAUUCAGGCAACUACCAAUCAGGUAAAGUAUGCCUGUGUAUUGUUGUGACUUACCUGGAAUGGACUUGAUUAUAUAGCUUCUAAGAACAUUUCUACUUGUGGAACUUUCCAGCAACCUGGAUAUGACGUUAUAGCCCAGUUCAUAAUUGGUUAUAUCUUACCCGGAAAGCCCAUUGCAAACCUGCUUUUCAAGAUUUAUGGGCGGAUCAGCACAAUUCAUGCUCUUUCUUUCUUGUCUGACCUCAAACUUGGGCACUACAUGAAAAUCCCACCACGCUGCAUGUACACAGCUCAGGUACCUUCUGCCCAUUAGCUUUUUCAUUAAGACUUCUAAAGAUCUUAUACAACUUUUGAAACUUCGUUCUGUAGUAUGAAAUGAUUGAACUUGUUUUUAUGUUUCCCAGCUUGUGGGAACUCUAGUUGCAGGUAUUGUCAACCUUGGAGUUGCAUGGUGGAUGUUAGAUAGCAUUGACAACAUCUGUGAUGUUGAAGGAAAGCAUCCUGAGAGCCAAUGGACCUGUCCUAAAUACCGAGUCACCUUUGAUGCUUCUGUUAUUUGGGGCUUAAUUGGACCAAAGCGGCUUUUUGGACCUGGAGGGAUGUACCGUAACUUAGUGUGGUUGUUCCUCAUUGGAGCGGUCUUGCCUGUUCCUGUUUGGAUAUUGAGCAAAAUUUUCCCUGAAAAGAAAUGGAUUCCCUUGAUUAACAUACCAGUUAUAUCUUAUGGUUUUGCUGGAAUGCCACCUGCAACUCCCACGAAUAUAGCAAGCUGGCUUAUCACUGGAACCAUAUUCAACUAUUUUGUGUUCAAGUAUCAUAAGCGCUGGUGGCAGAAAUAUAACUAUGUUCUAUCUGCAGCAUUAGAUGCUGGAACUGCUUUCAUGGGUGUUUUACUGUUUUUCGCUUUGCAAAAUGAGGGCCAUAACUUGAAAUGGUGGGGCACUGACCUUGAUCAUUGUCCUCUGGCAACGUGUCCAACAGCGCCAGGUGUCGUGGUUGAAGGAUGUCCGGUUUUUAAAUAGACCAAAUCGACCAUGCACAUGAUGAUCGAAGACUUUAAAAGUCAAAGGCGAAACGGAUUAAUUUUGAGACAGGAAGGGAAAUACUAAUGUACUAUAGCCGUUACAGACAAUUUUAUGACCACUUAUGUACAUGCUUUUUAUGUCCUCUCAAUUGAAGAGGAGGUAAUGCUUUUCUUUGUGCCUAAUAGCAGAAUUUUGCUUUUUCGUCAUAUGGCUGUUGAUAGCAUCUCGUAGAUGUUGCUAGAUGAAUAAGAAGCUAUUCCUGCUACAUCCGAGAGUUUAAAAUAAUUGUGCUUUACUUUUCAUUUACAAUGUCAAUACUUGUACACUUGCCGAUCCGAAAAGACUGAGAAAGAAGAUAUAUAUAUCUCCAACAGAAUAAAUUAAAACUGUUAUAGGACUGAAACCAAAAACAAAGCAACAUUUUGAAUUUCUCAGGGAUAGGUAUAAAGCGGCCAUUGGAGAUACAUACCAGGCAUAGGAAAAUGGAUGCUAGAAAGCAGAGGAUGCCUUGAUUUUAAGUUUCACCAUCAAUGGCGUAUGUCAAAGCCACCCUGCCCCUAGCCCUGUCUGAUUAAAAUCUUAAAACCAUUCAGAUAUUUUCCACUUCUAUGUUUGAUCAGGGUCGGGUUCUAAUUUAUGCGGCAACCCAAUUUUGAGUGCAUGUAGUAUCGCUAACUGAGGGGAAUUUUAGUCCAAACUCUUCCUAAUUUCAAUUGCAAGGGACCAAACGAAUUAAUGCAGGAACACUUAGCAUGGAUAAUUAAAAAAAAAAAAAAGCAUAUUUCUCAUAACUUUGCCCAACAAGAACAAGGAUAACUAUUAAUGGAUCAAUGAUCACGAAAUAUUUCCCUAGGUAAAAAUAGAAUCUUCAAAGUUUUCAUAUGGUGGCUCCUUCCUAAGCUACUUAAUUCAUCGACACAACAUCAACACUGUGAUACUUAUAUUAACCACACGAUCAUUGGAGACUACAAGGUCCACAUAGUCACCAUCUAAUACUACCGCUGCACAGGCUUGUAGAGCACCACAGUCACAUACUUGGCUAAAAAUCGAUGAGUUGAACCAAGUGCCACCACAGGUUGGCCACUCUUCCCCUUUUGAAUGUAGAGAUGAUUAAGAAUUACAUGCUUAGGUCUUGACAGAGGAGGUGGAAUCUCCAUCUGAGAUGCAGGCAGAUUAAGCAGUGGCAGUUGUAGGUGUGGAGGAACUAGUGGUGGCUCCUUAGCAAAAUCUUCAGCUCCAAGUGGCAAGUCAUUAUAGCUCGACUCGGGGGACUGAGGAGGUUCAAAACUAGAUAUACUCUCAAGAUCUUCCGGAACAUAAUCCUGCAUUGCAUUAUUCACAAUCAGCAUAUUUCUAAUUAAAGAGUUUGUGAAAGCUAUGCAUUAGUCAAGGUGAUGAAGCAAAGGGAGAAAGAAGACACUAAUGCAAGCAAGAAUGCACAAUAGCACUCCUGCACAUCCAUGAACUGCAAAUGUACAUUACAAUGCCACUUGUUUAAGAAGUUGAUUAUACCCAAACCUUUGCAAUAAAUAUAGCAAUUUAAUAGCAUAUAUAAAACUGAAAGUUACAGCUGAGUGAGAGUUGGUGCUUUUGAUCGCAUGUAGGACAAAAUGCUUUGAUG
RNAcentral lists this long non-coding RNA (67770 nucleotides) under Durio zibethinus. Its description in RNAcentral is "long non-coding RNA (DZIB_LNC001277)". Lineage: Eukaryota; Viridiplantae; Streptophyta; Magnoliopsida; Malvales; Malvaceae. The record is from RNAcentral.